RNAcentral lists this long non-coding RNA (60307 nucleotides) under Setaria viridis. Its description in RNAcentral is "long non-coding RNA (SVIR_LNC007217)". The record is from RNAcentral. Lineage: Eukaryota; Viridiplantae; Streptophyta; Magnoliopsida; Poales; Poaceae.
UAUUCAAUAAUGUUAUUGGUCCCCCAUGUGCAGAAGGGCGCGCGCGUAUGGAAUAACAAGUAGGGACACUGCAACUAAUCUACUCUGCUCGUCCAGUCCCUAGCCUAUAAAUAGAUGCCAUGCUAGCUCUUGUUGUGCUCACAAUUAAUCCGAUUACACACGAGCUUCUCUCCCUGGCCAAGACACAACCAUAGUAUGAUGAAGAACAUGGCACUAGCCGGCAAUGGUAUGAAGAAGUUAAUCCUCGCUGUUCUCUUACUGUGUCUAGUUAUAGGGCAGAUACAAGUGGAAGCUAAGAGCUGCUGCCCAUCCACCACUGCAAGAAAUGUCUACAAUACCUGCCGUUUCACGGGUACAUCCCGUCCAACGUGUGCAAAACUGUCAGGCUGCAAAAUUAUCAGCGGGAACAAAUGCAAGCCCCCUAACGACCACCUCACCCUUGACCCGGACACUGGUAAAUAAUAAAUUUAUCUCACUUGAUUUCUUCGUGAUUUGAGUCGUUAAUGUAUUUUCCAUCUGAUGAAACGUAUUGGUUUUGCAUUGAAGAGGAAGUUAAUGUGCUUAACUUCUGCAAGUUGGGGUGUGCGUCGUCUGUGUGCAACAACAUCAACGCUGGUAAGCAACUUUUGCUCAGACAGAGAAAACAAUAAUCAUUAAUUAGCGGCAGCUAGAAUCCUAUAAUCUAAUAUAUAUAUAUAUAUAUAAUUUUAUCAGCUCUGGGAAAUGAAGAGGCGAACGAUGCCGUUGAGAGUUGCGACCAAGCCUGCUCUAGCUUCUGCAGCGUGCAUGUUGGCAGCGCCACCGUGGUUGCUUAAGCAAAUGCAUCCAACUAGAUCGUCCUUGUGCUGAAUAAUUGGAUAUCGUAUCCACUUAAAGCUGCCUUGUGUAGUACGUCUUUGUGUCUCUCUUUAUAUUCCAAUAAGGUCGGUGAUCUUGAUGCCACACACUCAGAUGUGUGUUCAUCUCCAGAUACUACUCCAUGCUACCUGCCCUUUGUGUUUUGUUCAAUAACUGGGUAUCAUAUCCCAGCCAGUAUGCCGUCUGUUUUGUGUUUGUUUCCUUCUAGUUCCAAAGGGGUCAUCAUGAUGUUACCUUCUUUCAAUAUGGUGCUUUGCAUGACUACUGUUGUAUGGUACCAUCUUGUGGCCAAUAAGUACAUCUUAUCCUAUGACCUUUGCUAUGACCCUUUGCAAAUAAGUAGAAGAUUGUUAUAAGCGUCAAUACUCCGUAUAAAUUGAUCGCUGCUGUGAGUUCCCUUUCAGCUUAUCGUAGGCAUACAUUAUUGCUAGCACGGUAAAGCCAACCAACACGAAUGAUGAAGUAAACGUAGCGGUACUUCUGUAUACCAACACCCUUACUUAAAUGUACCGGUGUCAUUCCCUACUGGCACAUAUAUUCUUAUAUGCUAGCCAGCUUGUAAAAUUAACCAAUUAAAAUAAUUAUUUCAAGAUAGAAAUAACUUAUCGGUUUCUGGAAGCAUGUGUAAUGUGAAUUCAAGGACUCGACGGAAGUUGAAUCACUUCAUCUAUAUUGCUUUCAGUAUUUUGGGUAACUAAAUUUAACAUUUGCACAUACAAAUGUUAAAGUACAAAUGUUAAAUCUAGUUACCCAAGCAGAAUAUGAAGAUAGUUUAUAGUAUAUAUAUACUAUAUAAAUCUAGUUAACAUUUAGUCUAAAUGUUAAAUCUAGUUACCUAAAAUCCUGAAAGCAAAAUGUAUAAAUAUAUAUCUUUUAAGGCAGUAUAAGCUUCGAUUCCUAUUGCUGCUCUGUUAAAUCUCAUCUUUCGUUGUGGCCCAACACUCUAGUAUGCAUGUUGCACCAAGCUUCUUUGAGCCGCUCUGCCCUCUGAUUUUGCUGCGUAGGGGAAUCUUUAUCAGGUUGGGCUACUUCCAGUUGUGCGAUGUAAAGAUUCGUAUUUUCUAGAAGGUAGACAAAAAACUCGCGUUCUCUUAAGGCAACAACCGGAAGAUUCUGCAGCGCACAGGGCAUACCAUUAUUGUAGAAACGACCUUUAGUACCGAUCUCCAACCCCCUUUAAAACUGGUUUUGCAACCGGUACCGUUAUGUCGGUCCUUUAGUACCAGAUCAAAUAAGUACCGGUUGGUAACCAGUAUCAACUUGUUUUGCGGCCAAAAAAAUAAAGAAAAAAACAGUCAGAAGGCUCGCGCACACGCGCAUCACAUGAAAUAUGCGUGUGCGGGGUCCAUGGGAUUCGAACCCAUGAAAUCAAGCUGCGCGCGACCCUUCGUUACCAUCUCACCUACAUAGCGCAUAUGCUUUCCUGAAGUAACCCGUGGAGGAGGCUUUAGUACCGGGUCAUAACACCACCCGGUACUAAAAAUGACUCUUCAGUACCGGGUCAUAACACCACCCGAUACUAGUAUCGGAUGGUGUAAUGACCCGAUACUAAAAGGCCUCUAGGGACCCUCAAAUUUGAACCCGGUACUAAUGCUAAUAUUAGUAGCGGGUCAAAGUGCAGCCAGAACUAAAGCAUGGGAUGAAAGGUCAUAUUUCUAGUAGUGUAUAGUUGUUGUGAAGGACUGACUUGGCUGUCCUCUCUCUUCUCCAUCCCCUUGGUCUUACGCCGCCGCUCGCACGCGAGCCGGUGCCCAACCAGAGGAGUGAGAGCUAGGGGCAGGUUGGGAGGUGGGGAUAGUGACUGGUGGCCAGGGUGAUGGUUGAUCCUGGUGGGGUUAGGGUUUUAGGGUUUUCGAGCUUCCUAUGGUCGGCGAACCUAGAGGAGGAGCUCAACAUCAGCUGCAACCCGCGAUGGUGGUGGUUUGGCCGGCGCCCGAGGCGAGGCAGCGCGGGAGUGCUGCCGGUGGGUUGGUGUUGGCACUCAUUAUUGACAACUAUUUUGUUCAUAAAAUAACACUCAAACUUGCUGCUGCUGCUGCUGCUGCCAUCGCCACCCUAGCCAUAAUAUAAAGGCAAAAUUUGCUAAAGGACAUGCAAAAUGAUGCUAGUUUGCUGGCGGGCAUCGUUGACCUUGUAAUAUGCUACAAGACACUCUAGUUGUGUAUCAAUUUGCUGAAAGACAUUGCUAUGACUAAAAUAAUGUUUCUGGACUGAGUUGGAGAGAGAGAUGGAGUGAAAUGUCUGUUUUGCCCAUGACCCCACUGGUCAGAUCCUUCUUCUUCCACCCUCCUUUGUUCUUUCUUCAACCAUUACCCAGCUCCAGCGUGUUGCAGAUCUACGAGGGUGGCGGCCUGGGGCGAGGGGCAUCGCUCGCCCUUGGAGGAGCGCUGCGAGCGACGGCGCGGGGGCGGCAACAGCGCGUCAGAACCUGACUGUUCGUUAGCUCCUCUCGCUGCUGGGGAAGGAGGGGGAUGGGCCAUGGACGGGGUUCCCUUGAAAACCUCAGCGUCGAGCUCGGGCGGCUACGCGCAGGCAGCACUAGGCUGCUUCACGGGGAGGGGGCGCGGCCAAUCAUUGGCACCCCACUGGUCCAAUGCUGAUGAAGAUGGUGCCAGCGUCGUGUGAGGACAUCUCAUCUCCUCGAGUUCCAUGGCCAGCACAGGUGAGCUGCCGCUACCACAAAACAGAGGUUUCGUGAGAGUCAAAAAACCUUAUGAAAAUAGCUAAAACCAUCAUGAAAAUAAUCCGUGACAUGACACUCUCACGAAAAUCCUCUCACAAAUAUGGUGCCAUGAAAAUACCAUUUUCAUGAGAGUGAACUGUCAUGAUUUUAUUUCGUGAGAGUAUUUCCUAUCAAUGACCUCCACGAAAUACUUUGUGCCACCAGGUCUUCAAGAUCAUUUUCAUGAGAGCUGAACAUCAGGAAAAGUCCGCCACAAAUGUUUUUCUUGGAGCCCCUAACUCUCAUGAAAAUCAUGCGGGCCGCCACGAAAAACAGCAUGACCAAAUGACAAAUUUCAUUUUCAUGUGUUCAUACCGCCAUGAAAAUGGUCAUUUUCAUGAGAGUUGAUGAAACAAAAAAUAGUGCCAUUUUCAUGAGAGUUCAAGCAACCAGGAAAAGACACUAAUAAACAUCCAGAUCCCAUCCAGCACACAUCCAUGCACAUAUAUAACCCACAUAUUGCUCCAGCACACAUCCAUGCAUAUACAAGAUCCAAAUGUUAAUAUAGUAGACAUCCAUGCCUGAACUAGUCUGCCACACAAGUCAUUGAUGCUACAAAUCCUACAAUCGCAGCAUGUGCAUACAAGUCACAGAAUGAGACAAUGUACCCAAAACUAAAAGGUUAGCAUCAACUGUGCUUCAACCAAAGUUGUCAUCCCAACUCUCCUCUUCAUCCAUGCCAUUCUUGUCGUGGCCGUCACUGUCAGUCCCCAUGGCAUUGCCAAUGCUGUGCAUGUCUUGGUAGGAACCUACAUGUGAUGAACUAGUAACCUGCAAAAAGAGCUCAAAGGAUCUUGUUCUCAUAUUGUAGCUGUGAAAUUCUUACAAGUAGUGUUGCAAUCAGUUCACUUUGAACCAAAAGAGCUCAAAGGAUCUUGUCCUAAAAGUUCCUCAUAAAGCUUAUGGGUUUGCUGGUGGAACUGGAAGGGCUUGAUGCAGCAGAUGCCAUUCUGCAAUAGAGAAAAAUUUAGAGAGCAGUACUAGUUAAAAUUGGAUGCAGAAGAUACACAUGAAACUAGUAUUUAUACAAGUCUAUACAAUUAAAAUCUAAGGAGACUUAUCAUCGUUUUCAUGUGUUGUGAAUUAAAAUAAUGAAGGAUACACUGUUAGGUGAAAAUUCAAGAAACAAAAUUUUGCAUAGAGAUAAAGGUCCAACAUUAUUACAAGUUAAGGUAGUUUUAAAUAUCCUUGUAAUCUUCCUUUGGUUUCCUCAACGAUUCGAAGACAAUAACCUUGCUUCUAUCAAUGAUAAUUAUAAGGAGAAUCCAGUGGAAACUGUGUAUUCGUAUUAGAACUACCUAAGGUUAAUUAGGUUAGGAAAGGAAAUUGAAAAUAGAUGGUACCCACACUUACUUAAAGUUGUCGGGCAAUAGUAUGUAAUGCUUGUAAUUCCGUUGCUCCAAGAAUUUGUAUAUGUGGUCCAAUGUAGACUUUGGUUGAUCCCGUAUCUGCUGUUGGUUAAAUAAGUGUUUCUAGCCAUUUCUAGCCAUUAGAACCGGGACUAAAGGGGGCUCUUUAGUACGGGUUGAUAUUACUAACCGGGAUUAAAGAGCCCCCAUUAGAGUUGGUUUUUGGAUGCGGAACUAACAACUCCUUUAGUCCUGAGUACGAAAACAACUGACAUAUUUGUUGCUGGAUGGAAGGUCCUUUCUCUACCGUGAAUAUUGCCAGAAAGAAUUGAAAGAGACUGCUUGCUAAAAAUAUGUCAUAGAUGUAGACCAAGCUACCAAGGAGGUAGACCAAACAUGAUACACACCAUGCGUACCUUGCUGUGCAGACUAUGCAUUGACAAGAUACCCGACCACAUGUUGGCCUCGGUCACAUCAAAAGAAUCAUGUAGGCCACCAAUAAACUACUUGAAGCGGCAUUCCGUAUCGUAUAUGCAUUGCCGGUUCAUCUGCAUUACAUUACAUAAAGCACUAUUAACUAUUUGAAUAAAAUGAACCAAUUUAAAAGUAAUGUGUUGUACUCUACUAUAGAAAGCCCUAUCACUGCCGGAUCCAAAAACAUCAUUGUUAAUGGUGGUUAAGUACCAAAUAUGACGGUCAAUAUUCUCAAGAAUAAUGGAGAAUUAGCAUUUCUUAGACACAUAUUUGGUUUUGAACAAUGUAGUUCCACAUGUCUUUGGAGAUUAUUUGGGUGUGGGUGAAAUAAUACAAAAAUAAGGAGAAAACACACUCCCAUGGCGAAGAAACACAACUCCAACCAAUGAGAGAUAGCCACAGGGGCAGCACACGGAUCCAUGGGCCCACUAACCGCAUCAAACCAUCUUACCAAGGCAGGUAGCACCCACAACCGUCAUUAGGACCCACCUGGAAGUCUACCAAGAAGAAGGUUGCGAGUGGGGCCAGGAGGGGUUCGGUUGAAUCAUCUCUAGCUAGCUCCCCUCAUCCCCAGCUGGUGGGUGGUGGUGGUUGAUGGUGUCCCUACAUCAGUUAGAGGAGAUUCCCCCAAAUAUUCCUCCUGUAAACCACCUCUAUGGACCUAUACAUAGAGGGGUGUGCUCUCCAUUCCAACACACACCACAAGUUGAAUCACUCUCUCCCUCUUUAGUUUCCAAGUUUAUGGAGUUAGGCUAGAGUAGCUCUGCUCAAGGUUCCAAGUCCACUUGGAGUUAAGCAUAUGUCUCUUGUAUCGUUAUUUCCUAAAUUGACUUUAUGCUUAGUUCUUAUAUGCAUGAGUUAGUCUAAUACCCUUGCUAUAUUGAUAUGCUCGGCUUAUAUGCUCGUAUGCUAGUCAUAUACCCUUGCUGUCGUAGUAUAGGCUUAUAUGCUCUCAUGUGUGCCUGUAGACCUUGCUAUAGUAUAUACUUGUUGUGCAUACAUACCAUGUAUAGGCUAGUCGAUCUAUACCAUGGCAUUGGUUCAAUAGCCAUGUUUUUGGUGGCUCCAACCCUAGUCACAAUAGCUCGGGACAGCUGGAGUGUUGUUAAAAAUGCAAGAGUGGUGCUUGGGUUGUUUAGCAUCGUUGGAUAUGGGUUUGCCCCACGGGUUUCUAACGGUAGGCGGCAGCUAGUGACAUCCCUGUCCGUCCUUCGUAAUCCCCCCACAUUCAGGUACGCCAUAAAUGUUCGUAAAUUAGCAGUAACUACGCCGGUACACCUGUAGGGUAUUGUCUCCCUGUAGUACCUUGGUGCAUAGAACUAAGUCCUAUACACUGUGUGUGUAUGUUUACGCUGAUAUGAUCUGUGCAGUAUAUAGGAUGUAUAUAUGAACCUAGAGCUAACUCCUAGUCCGUUCUCCAUAGCUUAGUUAUCUUGAGAUGAUUCUUCUGUAUGUGUAACACUACCCAUCUUAUCAUUAUCCUUGAUCCUGUCUUGUGUAAUAUAUCUACUCAUCCUAUGAUAUACUCAUAUGCAUAGUAAACUAUUUUGACCUACCCGCCUUCCUUUGGGAAAUAUGAUACCUUGGAAUAAUCCUAGGUGAAAUCCUACAACGGUAUAUCCAUGUAAAUGCGGAUUUAUUCAUGACCAUUAAAUAUACCAACAAUCAUCACUGUGAGUUUUGGGCGUCGUUAGUGAAGGGUUGGUAGUGAUGGGCAUCCCCUUCACCAAUGGACCUGGAACCGGCGGUGAUGGCUAUUAUAAAAAAGGGGACACCACCCAGCGUACCCCACGACCCGGCCGGCCGCACCUCCCAUCAUCCCCGCCAGCCGCCCUUCCUUUUCGCCGGCCGAGCAUGGUCCCGGCCUUUGUCCCUACCACCUCGCCUCCACCGCGACCCCCCGCCGAUGCCCUCGUGCCUGGCCCCCCUCAUCUUGCCGGCCACCCUCCCGAUGCGUCCACUGGGGCCCUCGCACCACCAACCGCCCUUGCUUAGAGAGGGAGAGAGAGGAGGGAGGUGAGGCCACGCACCUCGUCCUACACCGCCGCUGUUUCUCCUCGGCCCACCGCGCCUCACCCCACACCACAGCCGCGCCUUGCCAUCUUACCGGCUGUGACGCCUCAUCUCACCGGCCACCGUUCCUCACCCCCACUUCGGUCGUCGCCGCUCCUUGCCCUACCGCUGCUCUUUGCCGCUGCGAAUGAGCGCCGAGUGGAGGAGGAGGGAUGGGGCAGGAGGAGGGCAAGAUCCGGGAGGAAGGGAGAGAUCUCGGGAGGUGGAGAUGGAAGGAUAUGGCGGAAGGGAGAGAUCCAGAGGGAGAGAGCAGGGGAGAGAGGGGGGCGUGUGGGGAGAGAGCGCGUGUGGGGUGGGGCCGGGCUGGUGGGAUGGAAGGGAGAGGGGCUAGACGGGCGCAGUGCAUUCAACUGGAUGAAGUAAAUAUUUUGGAUUCGAGACCCCAGCUUUAUUAUCACCGCUGGUCCGUAGUACCAUCCGGUGCCUGCUCGUAAUUUAAUUUGAAUCUGCGGUGAUGUUUUAUUAUCACCAUCGGAUCAUAUAAAAAUCCGGCGGUUAAAAAUCCGCUGGUUUCGAUGAAAACCGACGGUGAUAGGAUGACUGUGAUAGUCUCUUCUCUAGUAGUGGUAUAUUAGUACCGGCUGCCGGAUGGUGUUGCCGACCAGUACUUCUCCGGGGGCGAUUCAGUACUGCUGUUAGCAAAGCUUGUUCUCUAUGAAUUUGGGGAUGGAAAGCUAGUUCUCUAGUUGUGAUUUGUUACAUAUAUAUCUAUGAUAGUCUAGAAAUUGCAUGUCCUUCGUUGACAUAGUUGAAGCUGCUUCAAGAAUUUACUUCGUGCAGUCGUGCAGCAUAUUGGAUUAUCACCUAGACAGGAUACAUAGGUGAAGCAUUGGAUGUGAUUGUGGCCGAUAAUUAUGCAGGACGCUGUUGCAAUCAACCACCAAGAAGUCUGGAGUGAUGGGGUUGCCUCAUCAAUAAUUUUUAUAUAUGGCUGCAGUAUUAUUAAGCCCACGUCAAUAAUUUUUUGUCCGCACCAUAUAUCGAUGGGGUUGCCUCAUCAAUAAUUCGCGCAACCAGACAAGCUGCAGACUCAAUAUGGUACGAAGCUAGUUGCUCAGCCCACAUGCUCUGAUAUAACAUUGACAUCUGCUGAUCUACAGUAUAUAUGACCAGAAAUAUUGUGCCCACCUCAAUAACUUUCUGAAGUAUCGUGGGGAAGAACCUACGCGUACUAUGCCUCGGAACUAACUGACAUAUCGGCCCAGGCGGUCUAGGCCGAUUGGACUGGCUCUUCCUUGUGGCUUCUCACAUCCCCUUCGUCCCCAAGUAAUUUCAGGUGUUCUGUAGUUUUCUUUUCACUUGCAUCUGAGCCUCCUAUAUCAAUAGCUUCGGGAUAAGAAUGCCUCUUGAUAACCUUCCAAAUCCUCGCUUGAUUCACAUUGAUUCCGAAAUCAUCUUGCCAUAUCUUCAGAGACUUAGGUCCUAAGGCAUCAUGGAGGAUUGCUCGCCAAGAAUGAGCACCAUUGGGCUCCUGAGGACCCUAGGCCGAUCAGCCCGGGCUCUAUAGGUCGAUUGGCCCAGGCCCUCUCUGGGCCUGUUGGCCUUCAUCUUUCUUUGAGUCGACGCUUAUUCAGGGCUUUGUCCAAUUAUAGUCCAUUAUAGUCUAAUUUCCUAAAAAACAGAAUGUCCUCCAAAAUACAAUGCAUAUGUGAAAACAACCCAAUUAUUAGGUAUGAUCAAUAGUUUAGGUAUUAAAUUAAUAUUAUUAUUUAAGAUAAACAGGGGUAAAGGGUGUCAUUAAUAACAAGCGCCAACAAGCGUCCUAGCUGUUCAAUAAAUUUUUUCUAGUACCGAUUGGUAACACUAACCGGUGCUAAUAUGUACCCUUUAUUACCGGUUAUUUUACCAGGUACUAAAGGAGACAAGAGCAUCCUAACAUAAGGUUAAUAUCAUCCAUUUCAUGAGUAAAAUACUAUGAUUCAAAAAUAAUUCAAAUCCCUUAAGACAAUACCUAUCAAAUGAGUAAAUUGUAAAUAGAGUAAUCUUGAUCAAACAAUGUCCUAAUGAAACGGAACACUUCUGGUUCGUGUAGAGCACAAUAUAGAAAACAGUAGGGUAGCUGUAUGAUUGACACGUGGUCCAUUAAUUAUUGAGCCAACACUAUGGACAUGUCUUCAUGAGUAGUGUACUAGUCAUAAUACAUGGUAUGCAGUAGGUGGAGGUAUUGACUUAGCCAUGCUAUGAGCACUUAGUUACAACAAACACUUUGCCAUUAUCGAGCAUCCCAAAUCACUACAAAAUCCAUAGUUUACCAUAUACUACAAAAUCUGAGUUAAAAUAAGAGCAUACACGGAAGAGUCCGAAUGCACGGCACAUUGAAUUACUAGACAAAAUUUAUGGGACAAGGUUUUGGGUAACCGCAUGAAAAAUAUUGGAUUUUACUGAACACUUAGUUACAAUUACCAUGCCCGUGAGCACUUAGUCACCACAAACAUUUAACCACUUUAGAUCAUCCUGAAUCCCUAUAAAUUCUAUACCUUACACCGUACCAUGAAAACGACAAGAACAGAGACAGAUGCGGUGAAAAUCUCCAGAGCAAGCCUGAAAUUAAAAUAAGAGGAGGCAGUCACUAUCGACAGGACACGGAGAUUGCUAGCCAUGACAGAGGAAGACAUGAUAUGAUAUUCACCUCUGAAAUGCAGCGUAGACUAAAUGAAGCACAAUUGCAAGUGAGUGUGGCAGAUAAUGGACCAUCGAGACCAUCGAAUGGUAUGAAGCAUGAUUAUCACCUAGACAUGAUAUCCUAGACAGGACGGUGAAUUGUAAAAAGAGUAAUCUUGAUCAAAGAAUGUCCUAAUGAAACGGAACAUUUUUGGUACGUGUAGAGCAAAAUAUAGAAAACAGUAGAGUAGUUGUACGAUUGAAACUGCAUCCAUCGACGUGGUGCAUGAAUUGUUGAGCCAACACUGUGGACAUGUCUUCAUGAACACCAUCUAGUGAGGACAGCAUGCAGAAAAAUAUAAAAACAUGUCAUAGGGAGGCAGACCAAUCUUGCGAGGUAGACGAAACGUGAUACACGAUCUGCCUACCUUGUCGUGUGGAUACCCCAAGUGAAGAUGUCAUAGAGGUGCAGACCAAGCUAGCAAGGAGGUAGAUGAAACGUGAUACACGGCCUGCCUACCUUGCCGUGGAUAUUAGUCCUGAUAUCAUUCUAUUGUUCAAGGAAUAACACUCAAUGCUGCUGCUGCUGCUGACCUGGCUCCAUAAAGUUAUAUUCCUCUAGCCGCUUGCACUAACUUUAUCUGAAGUAUUAUUCUCUCUGCACUGUAUAUAUGGUUACGGAGUUUGCUGGAGUAUCCGGGGGGAAGAACCUACAUAAUAUGUCUUGGAACUAACUGACAUUGAUUCACAGACAAGGUGCUGUUGUUGACAUGGUACAGUAAAUAAUAUAGUUUACCAUAUACCGUAUACCAUUAUAUGUUAGCUAAAAUAAGAGCAUAACAUGUCGCAGGAGUCCAAAAGCACCGGUUGAGGACCAGGUACAUUAAAUUACUAGAAAACAAAAGGGGACAAGGUUUAGGUAGCCACAUGAAAAACAUUUGAAUUUACUGUACCAUGAACACUUAGUUACCAUGCCGGGAGCACCUAGUUAACACUAACAUUUAGCCACUUUAGAUCAUCCCGAAACACCAAUGACCCUCAAUAGCGACAAAUUUUGGUUUAAAUGCCGUCACCAAUGAUCCUCAAUAGUGACGUGUUUAGGUUUAAAUCCCAUCACUAAUAACCCUUGGUAGUGACGUGUUUUGGUUUAAAUCUCAUCACCACUGAUCCUCACUAGUGACGUGUUUUUAGCAACACACGUUAUGAAUGACUUGUCAUUGGUGACAUGUUAAACGCGUUAUCUCAAUGGCAAAUCAAUGGUGACGUGUUUAAAAAAACAUGUCACUGUGAGAGUUAUUGGUGAAGGGUAAUUAAAAUGCAUCACUAAUUUUGUAGCAUUAGUUAUGAUAUAAUUUUGUAACGCAAAAAUCUACCAUAGUAAUGAGGUUUAGAGCCAUCACUAAUGUGGGUUUCUUAUCGUAGUGAUGCAAGCUCUACAAGGUGCUGUUGUUGCCAUUUUAAAGCAUCCCAAAUGACUACAAGAGUCCGGUUGAGGACUAAACAAAUUGAAUUACUAGAACCAAAUGUAUGUCCAGAACAAAGAAAGGGGUCAAGGUUUGGGUAACCGCAUUAAAAACAUUGAAUUUUACUGUACCAUGAACACUUAGUUACCAUUACCAUGCCUUGAGCACCUAGUUACCACAAACAUUAAUUUAGCCACUUUAGAGGUUCCACAAUCACUAUAAAUAAUAUACCAACACCGUACCAUGAAAACAUCAAGAAGAGAGACGGGUACAUGGACCACCAUCAAGUGAGUAGUGACAGCACGCACAAGAAUACCCGGAACCUUUUAGCUUGUCUGUAGUGAUCUGUUUUCUUCGCCACAAAUAAUGAAAGAGGCUGACCAAGCUAGCAACGAGGUAGAGCAAACGUGAUACACGUAGGUUUCAUUCAAGACAUCCAUGUAAGAUUCAUUCAAAACAUUCAUGGAAAUUUCUUGUAAGUUUUCAUGUAAAUUUCAUUCAAGACAUUUGUUAGAGGUGUUGUAUAUACACUUAACGUACAUAUAUCUAUGAUUUCAUGGUUGUUAGUGAUGGCAGAUGAGGAGCAUGCAAGGUGUUUAAUGGAGCAGAUUAUUGCUAGUGGUAGUGGCUCCAACCUGCCCGUAACGUACACCGACGAAGAGGGCAGCCAGGCGGACAUGUUCCUCAACAUGUCCGGUGAUGGCAAUGAAGAGCCCGAGCAAAACCUUGCCGUGACGGAAGGUUCCAUCGAGGUAUAUAUCAUUUCCAUUAUUUUACCCCAUCUAUAAUUUCAUAUUCAUUAUUACUAUGUGCUAAUUAAUGAAUCUUGAACCGUUAGUCCUCUAGAUCAACGAACCGAAAUAAGCCCCGAGGUCUUACAAAGAUAAUGCAGGGAAGGCUUCACAUCAUGGAAGUCACAGAAGAGGGCACAUCGGUUGCUCCCGAACAUGUGGCAAGAAAGUACGUGAGUCAAACCGGGGCAAUCGUAAGGGACAACAUGCCCAUCAGCAUCAGGGAAUGAAAGAGCAAUAGAAAUGAUCUAUACGCACCCCCGGAUACACAAAAGGAUAUGUUGUGGGCAAAUAUCAAGAAACACUUCACAUUUCCCAAAGGAUAUGUUGAAAAAUAUGUGAAAGCGUGGAUGUUGAAGAAGAUGGCCACCCAAUUCCAGACAUUCAAGAAGAUGUUGGAUGCCAACUUCAUCAAGAAGGGUCGAACUCCGGGUUUCAAUGAGUGGCCAAAGUUAAGGGACCACUGGGAGUCGUUUGUCGAAUACAAGACGAGCGAAGGUGGUGCGAGUAAGGUUCACAUCAAUGUUGCCAAUGCUAGCAAGGAGUACCAUCAUCAUCUAGGGCGACGUGGUUACAGCUCUGCAAUUCCCAGAUGGCGCAAGAUGGAACAAGACCUGAUCGAUCGGGGUAUCGUACCAGCAACUCUUGACUGGAUCGAUUGAAAAAUUGGUAUUAUGCUCAUGAAGGCAAUCUGAGCCAAGAGGAUCCGACAUUGGUCUUCAAUAAAACAAUACGUCAGAAGGUCGGAAGGCUUAUUAGGAACAUUGAAGAUGCUAAAGCUGGGAGGUUCAAGGUGGAUAGAGAGAAUGAUGAACUCACAUUGGCCCUCGGGACUGUCAUCUCUAGCACUUCCAGCUCCAGGACUAUCGUCACCACCGGGACCGUCGCUUCCUGCUCGAUCACAGUCUCCAUCUCCAGCACAUCCUGGUGGUGCGAGCGACGACGACAACAACACCCCUCCCUGCCCACCAUUGCCGGGACUAAGACCCGCAUUGAGUAAGGAACCUGCAACACCACUGAAGAAGUCGCGACCACCACCUUCAAGGCAAGUCAGCAAAAGAAGAAAGCAGAGAAGCCUAAACCCACUGAGAAGCCAGCGACUGAUAUGACCGAUGCGGAAAGAUGGAAGGCACUCAAAGAAGAAUGCAGGGAGUGGUUCAGCGAAGGCGAAGGUGAGAAAGUCGUAUGAAUCGAAUUCAAGGAUAUAUAUGAAGUGAACCAUCAGGAUGCCCUUGAUGUCUCUCUCAUCAGCGCCUAGGUUCUGUAAGUGUAUGUUUAUCUAUAAGUAAAUUUUGGCUCAUAUCAUUAUUUUUUUUGCGUGCGUCACCCUACUAACUUCGUCUUCCAUUUUAUGUAGGAUGCUAAUUCAGACGUGCCGCAUAGAAGCGUACUUCCAUGUUGGAUUCAUGGAUCCAUCCCUAGUUAACCAAAAGCCGAUACGGAAGUAGCUAGAGAAAACGUUGGAGGUGGUGUACAACCUCCUGGACAAACUAAACUACAGAAUAGGGGCAAUAUGUGAGGGUCUUGUAGGAUUCCUAGUGGACGAGGUGAUAAAUCCAUAAGGAGAAUAUCAUUCCAACGGACGAGCAUUAGACACACUGAGCAACACCUAGAUGGGAGGAUCCUAGGAAUGACCUCGACAGAUUUUGGUAUAAAUAGUAAUUGUGUAAAUACUAGUUUGAUUUGUAUAGGAAUAUACUAAGAAUUGUAUAUAUAGUAAUUGUACAAAUACUAGUUUGAUUUGUAUGAAUACUAGAUUGAUUUUAUUAUAAAAAAGUUUUAAGUCGUACGUGCAUGCGCCUACAAAGGCGCGGAUGCCUUUUAAUCCCAGUCGGAAAAACAAACUGGUACUAAAGGGGCUCGUGCCGCACCUGGCAUGACCACCCCUUUAGUCCCGGUUGAACGACCCAGGACUAAAGAUCUCCGCGUCUCAAAAAUUUUAUCUCGGAUGCUUUUUAGAGAGAUUUGAGGCCUAUCAACCAAGACUAAUAUCGAGUUUUCUACCAGUGAAACUAACUAACGUUCACAUGGUUUUGACAUUCACCUGCCAUUUGGUGUAGACAAGGGCACCCUAACAUAUGGUUAAUAUUAUUCUUGAAAGAAAAUCCUUUGAUUCAAAAUACUUCAAACCUAAUAAUACAAUACUUCUCACAUCUGAAAAAUAUGAGACGGCCCGACAGUAUUCUAAUCGACGCAAUAAUAUUUUGAGGGCAGCACUACUACAGCGACCCUCAUUCGUGCCGGUGCUGGGACUCCUAUCACGACCCUGAUACAAAUGAGGGUACAUUAUUGGUGCCAGUGCUAGAACAGCCACGAAUAACUUGCUAAACGUGCUGUUACACUCACUACAGGGACCAAGAAGGUAGAUAAAUUACACGACAUAGCCUUGGUUGCCGUGGAAGCGCCAAGAAGGGAGACAAAUUACAGGGACCACACCAUCAAGUAGAUAGUGACAAUAUGCAAAAGAAUACCCGCGCCUGUUAGCAUGUGAACUGACCACACCACGAAACGUGAUACACGGCAAGCGUACCAAGGCCUUGCUGUGCAGACUAUGCAUGGACAACACAUGGUACCUGACCGCUUUUGGCCUCAGACACAUCGAAAAACUGCAUCGUUCCACGUUGUACAUCCAUUGCUAGUUUAUCUAUAUUACAUAAUAUAUUAUUAGCUAUUUGAAUAGAAUGAACCAAUUAAAAAAUUGCGUUGUAUUUUUAGUACCGGCUGCAGGAUGGUGUUACCAACCAGUACUAAUUGGCCUGUAGGAGUGAUGGUUAUUAGACUUGGUACUGUUGUUAGCAUCAUUAACCUAAUUGUGCGCCGUAUGAAUUUGGGGAUGCAAAGCUAGCUCUCUAUGAAUGUGAGGGAUGGAAAGCUAGUUCUCUAGUAGUAAUUAUAUAUAUGACAGUCAAGAAAUCGAACACUAUGCUGCUACGAGUCACCAUCAUUUCCUUCAUUGACAAUCUGACAUAGGUGAAGCUGCUUCAAUAAUUUCCUUCGCGCAGUCGUGGAGCUUAUUGGAUUAUCACCAGGACGGGACACGGAAAUGGCCAGCAAUGAAGCUGAUUGCCGUCUGAGGAAGACUACAUACUUACCUAUGAAAUGAAGCGAUUGCAUAGACUAAUGAAGCAUUGCAUAUUUGCAUGUGAGUGUGGCAGAUAAUUCUGCAGGACAUGAUUGCAAUCCACGCACCAUCGAGAAGACUGGGGCGAUGGGGUUGCCUCAUCAAUAAUCACGUGGAUGCAUGCAUGCAUGUUCCCGCAACCGGACAAGGGUCUGAUAUAUGGCUAUAGUAUUACUGAGCCCACAUCAAUAAUUUCCACUGGUGUAUCGUGUGGGAAGAAUCAACAUACUACACCUCGAGUUCUUGGAACUAACUGACGUUCACAUGCAACCUCCACAAGGUGCUGUAUGCUUUUGACAUUCACCUGCCAGUUCGUGUAGAGAAGGACACCCUAACGUAUAGUUAAUAUUAUCCAUUUCAUGAGUAAAAUACUGUGAUUCAAAAAUACUUCAAAUCCCUUGAGACAAUACUUCUCACUUGACUAACCACUAACCAACCCCGAAACCCUAACUCAACUCCGAACCCUAACCCCUAACGGCAUAACCACUCCGUUUUGCCGGCGAGAUGGAGGAACUGGCUGGAAGGUAGAGAGGGCAGCGGUCCAGGGUUGAAAACGACGGGCGAGCGCAGUAACAUGUGGAGGAGGAAGUGCCACGUAUUCGUUCACCGCUAUUGGGCAGCGACACACGACACGCCCAAUAAGAUCUUCGCACGGUAGAAGGACGUCAUGUAUUCAAUAAUGUUAUUGGUCCCCCAUGUGCAGAAGGGCGCGCGCGUAUGGAAUAACAAGUAGGGACACUGCAACUAAUCUACUCUGCUCGUCCAGUCCCUAGCCUAUAAAUAGAUGCCAUGCUAGCUCUUGUUGUGCUCACAAUUAAUCCGAUUACACACGAGCUUCUCUCCCUGGCCAAGACACAACCAUAGUAUGAUGAAGAACAUGGCACUAGCCGGCAAUGGUAUGAAGAAGUUAAUCCUCGCUGUUCUCUUACUGUGUCUAGUUAUAGGGCAGAUACAAGUGGAAGCUAAGAGCUGCUGCCCAUCCACCACUGCAAGAAAUGUCUACAAUACCUGCCGUUUCACGGGUACAUCCCGUCCAACGUGUGCAAAACUGUCAGGCUGCAAAAUUAUCAGCGGGAACAAAUGCAAGCCCCCUAACGACCACCUCACCCUUGACCCGGACACUGGUAAAUAAUAAAUUUAUCUCACUUGAUUUCUUCGUGAUUUGAGUCGUUAAUGUAUUUUCCAUCUGAUGAAACGUAUUGGUUUUGCAUUGAAGAGGAAGUUAAUGUGCUUAACUUCUGCAAGUUGGGGUGUGCGUCGUCUGUGUGCAACAACAUCAACGCUGGUAAGCAACUUUUGCUCAGACAGAGAAAACAAUAAUCAUUAAUUAGCGGCAGCUAGAAUCCUAUAAUCUAAUAUAUAUAUAUAUAUAUAAUUUUAUCAGCUCUGGGAAAUGAAGAGGCGAACGAUGCCGUUGAGAGUUGCGACCAAGCCUGCUCUAGCUUCUGCAGCGUGCAUGUUGGCAGCGCCACCGUGGUUGCUUAAGCAAAUGCAUCCAACUAGAUCGUCCUUGUGCUGAAUAAUUGGAUAUCGUAUCCACUUAAAGCUGCCUUGUGUAGUACGUCUUUGUGUCUCUCUUUAUAUUCCAAUAAGGUCGGUGAUCUUGAUGCCACACACUCAGAUGUGUGUUCAUCUCCAGAUACUACUCCAUGCUACCUGCCCUUUGUGUUUUGUUCAAUAACUGGGUAUCAUAUCCCAGCCAGUAUGCCGUCUGUUUUGUGUUUGUUUCCUUCUAGUUCCAAAGGGGUCAUCAUGAUGUUACCUUCUUUCAAUAUGGUGCUUUGCAUGACUACUGUUGUAUGGUACCAUCUUGUGGCCAAUAAGUACAUCUUAUCCUAUGACCUUUGCUAUGACCCUUUGCAAAUAAGUAGAAGAUUGUUAUAAGCGUCAAUACUCCGUAUAAAUUGAUCGCUGCUGUGAGUUCCCUUUCAGCUUAUCGUAGGCAUACAUUAUUGCUAGCACGGUAAAGCCAACCAACACGAAUGAUGAAGUAAACGUAGCGGUACUUCUGUAUACCAACACCCUUACUUAAAUGUACCGGUGUCAUUCCCUACUGGCACAUAUAUUCUUAUAUGCUAGCCAGCUUGUAAAAUUAACCAAUUAAAAUAAUUAUUUCAAGAUAGAAAUAACUUAUCGGUUUCUGGAAGCAUGUGUAAUGUGAAUUCAAGGACUCGACGGAAGUUGAAUCACUUCAUCUAUAUUGCUUUCAGUAUUUUGGGUAACUAAAUUUAACAUUUGCACAUACAAAUGUUAAAGUACAAAUGUUAAAUCUAGUUACCCAAGCAGAAUAUGAAGAUAGUUUAUAGUAUAUAUAUACUAUAUAAAUCUAGUUAACAUUUAGUCUAAAUGUUAAAUCUAGUUACCUAAAAUCCUGAAAGCAAAAUGUAUAAAUAUAUAUCUUUUAAGGCAGUAUAAGCUUCGAUUCCUAUUGCUGCUCUGUUAAAUCUCAUCUUUCGUUGUGGCCCAACACUCUAGUAUGCAUGUUGCACCAAGCUUCUUUGAGCCGCUCUGCCCUCUGAUUUUGCUGCGUAGGGGAAUCUUUAUCAGGUUGGGCUACUUCCAGUUGUGCGAUGUAAAGAUUCGUAUUUUCUAGAAGGUAGACAAAAAACUCGCGUUCUCUUAAGGCAACAACCGGAAGAUUCUGCAGCGCACAGGGCAUACCAUUAUUGUAGAAACGACCUUUAGUACCGAUCUCCAACCCCCUUUAAAACUGGUUUUGCAACCGGUACCGUUAUGUCGGUCCUUUAGUACCAGAUCAAAUAAGUACCGGUUGGUAACCAGUAUCAACUUGUUUUGCGGCCAAAAAAAUAAAGAAAAAAACAGUCAGAAGGCUCGCACACACGCGCAUCACAUGAAAUAUGCGUGUGCGGGGUCCAUGGGAUUCGAACCCAUGAAAUCAAGCUGCACGCGACCCUUCGUUACCAUCUCACCUACAUAGCGCAUAUGCUUUCCUGAAGUAACCCGUGGAGGAGGCUUUAGUACCGGGUCAUAACACCACCCGGUACUAAAAAUGACUCUUCAGUACCGGGUCAUAACACCACCUGAUACUAGUAUCGGAUGGUGUAAUGACCCGAUACUAAAAGGCCUCUAGGGACCCUCAAAUUUGAACCCGGUACUAAUGCUAAUAUUAGUAGCGGGUCAAAGUGCAGCCAGAACUAAAGCAUGGGAUGAAAGGUCAUAUUUCUAGUAGUGUAUAGUUGUUGUGAAGGACUGACUUGGCUGUCCUCUCUCUUCUCCAUCCCCUUGGUCUUACGCCGCCGCUCGCACGCGAGCCGGUGCCCAACCAGAGGAGUGAGAGCUAGGGGCAGGUUGGGAGGUGGGGAUAGUGACUGGUGGCCAGGGUGAUGGUUGAUCCUGGUGGGGUUAGGGUUUCAGGGUUUUCGAGCUUCCUAUGGUCGGCGAACCUAGAGGAGAAGCUCAACAUCAGCUGCAACCCGCGAUGGUGGUGGUUUGGCCGGCGCCCGAGGCGAGGCAGCGCGGGAGUGCUGCCGGUGGGUUGGUGUUGGCACUCAUUAUUGACAACUAUUUUGUUCAUAAAAUAACACUCAAACUUGCUGCUGCUGCUGCUGCCAUCGCCACCCUAGCCAUAAUAUAAAGGCAAAAUUUGCUAAAGGACAUGCAAAAUGAUGCUAGUUUGCUGGCGGGCAUCGUUGACCUUGUAAUAUGCUACAAGACACUCUAGUUGUGUAUCAAUUUGCUGAAAGACAUUGCUAUGACUAAAAUAAUGUUUCUGGACUGAGUUGGAGAGAGAGAUGGAGUGAAAUGUCUGUUUUGCCCAUGACCCCACUGGUCAGAUCCUUCUUCUUCCACCCUCCUUUGUUCUUUCUUCAACCAUUACCCAGCUCCAGCGUGUUGCAGAUCUACGAGGGUGGCGGCCUGGGGCGAGGGGCAUCGCUCGCCCUUGGAGGAGCGCUGCGAGCGACGGCGCGGGGGCGGCAACAGCGCGUCAGAACCUGACUGUUCGUUAGCUCCUCUCGCUGCUGGGGAAGAAGGAGGGGGAUGGGCCAUGGACGGGGUUCCCUUGAAAACCUCAGCGUCGAGCUCGGGCGGCUACGCGCAGGCAGCACUAGGCUGCUUCACGGGGAGGGGGCGCGGCCAAUCAUUGGCACCCCACUGGUCCAAUGCUGAUGAAGAUGGUGCCAGCGUCGUGUGAGGACAUCUCAUCUCCUCGAGUUCCAUGGCCAGCACAGGUGAGCUGCCGCUACCACAAAACAGAGGUUUCGUGAGAGUCAAAAAACCUUAUGAAAAUAGCUAAAACCAUCAUGAAAAUAAUCCGUGACAUGACACUCUCACGAAAAUCCUCUCACAAAUAUGGUGCCAUGAAAAUACCAUUUUCAUGAGAGUGAACUGUCAUGAUUUUAUAAGCGUCAAUACUCGGUAUAAAUUGACUACUGCUGUGAGUUCCCUUUCAGCUUAUCGUAGGCAUACAUUAUUGCUAGCACGGUAAAGAGAACCAACACGAAUGAUGAAGUAAACGUAGCGGAACUUUUGUAUACCAACACCCUUACGUACCGGUGUCAUUCCCCACUGCCACAUAUAUUCUUAUAUGCUAACCAGCUUUGAAAAUUAAGCGAUUAAAAUAAUUAUUUCAAGAUAGAAAUAACUUAUCGGCUUCUCGAAGCUUGUGUAAUGUGAAUUCAAGGACUCGAUGGAAGUUGAAUCGCUUCAUCUAGAUUGCUUUCAGGAUUUUGGGUAACUAAAUUUAACAUUUGCACACACAAAUGUUAAUGUACAAAUGUUAAAUCUAGUUACCCAAGCAGAAUAUGAAGAUACUCUAUAGUAUAUAUGUACUAUAUAAAUCUAGUAAACAUUUAGUCUAAAUGUUAAAUCUAGUUACCUAAAAUCCUAAAAGCAAAAUGUAUAAAUAUAUAUCUUUUAAGGCAGUAUAAGCUUCAAUUCUCUGUUAAAUCUCAUCUUUCGUUGUGGCCCAACACUCUAGUAUGCAUGUUGCACCAAGCUUCUUUGAGCCGCUCUGCCCUCUGAUUUUGCUGCGUAGGGGAAUCUUUAUCAGGUUGGGCUACUUCCAGUUGUGCGAUGUAAAGCUUCGUAUCUUUUAGAAGGUAGACAAAAUACCCGCGUUCUGGAAGAUUCUGCAACGUGCACGUUGGCGCUGCCACCGUGGUUGCUUAAGCAAAUGCAUCCAACUGAAUCGUCCUUAAGCUGAAUAAUUGGAUAUGGUAUCCACUGCUUAAAGCUGCCAUGUUUAGUACGUCUUUGUUUUUCUCUCUUUAUAUUCCAAUAAGGUCGGUGAUCUUGAUGCCACACACUCAGAUGUGUGUUUAUCUCCAGAUACUACUCCAUGCUACCUACCCUUUGUGUUUUGUUCAAUAACUGGGUAUCAUAUCCUAGCCAGUGUGCCAUCUGUUUUGUGUUUGUUUCCUUCUAGUUCCAAAGGGGUCAUCAUGAUGUUACCUUCUUUUGAGGUGUCUAUGAUGACUUCGUUAAUAUCAAUAUUAACCAAUUCAAUCUGUCUUAACUAUUUGUAAGGGGUAUGAUGUAUGCAUGAUUAUAACAAUGAUUGCGCAUACAAUCGCCGCCAAAGAAACGGUCAAUACCAUUAAGACAUAUUACAGACAAUUCUCAUAAUCUAUAAUGAAUAUACAUAUUCACUACUGCAGAAGACUGUCAUUUGUAUCGGCUCAUACGUGCCAGGGCAAAGGUCACCCUUGCAUUAAGUACAUUUGCACGGUAAAGACAACCAACACGAAUAAUGAAGUAAACAUGCCGGUGCUUUUGUACACCAACACGCUUACUUAAAUGUACUGGUGUCAUUCCUCACCGGUAGCCGGCUUGAAAAUUAACCAAUUAGAACAAUUAUUUAUUGUAUCGGUGUGAUUUUUGACCUAUUGGAAUAUGAAUUUGACCGUUACUGCAUUCGUCAAGACUCAAGAGAGAAAUAACUGAUCGGCUUCUUAGAGCGUGUGCAAUGUGAAAUCAAGGACUGGAUGGAAGUUGAAGCGCUAGCACUAGUAGAGAAACGACUUUCCAUCCACCCCCUUUUGUCCCGGUUUAAAGUUGGCUCGGGAUAAAAGGUUCACCAACCGGGACUAAAACUCAGUCACUGGUGGGAGGCUCACCAACCGGAACCUUUUAUCCCGGUUGCAAAGGCUAAUGGGAAAAAAAGACUCUGAGAGGCCUUUUAUCCCGGUUUGAAACACCAACCGGGAUAAAAGACCCCCCUUUUAUCCCGGUUGGUAACACCAACCGAGAUAAAAGGGUCAAGAGCCUUUUAUCCCGGUUGGAAACACCAACCGGGAUAAAAGACCCCCUUUUAUCCCGGUUGGUGUUUCAAACCGGGAUAAAAGGGCCCCCACGAGGUGACUGGAAGGUGACUGGAAGGGGAUUAAAUCGUGGGGGACCCUUUUAUCCCGGUUGGAAACACCAACCGGGAUAAAAGGGGGUCUUUUAUCCCGGUUGGUGUUUCCAACCGGGAUAAAAGGGUCCCCCACGAGUUAAUACAAAAGGAUAGUAUCCCCUACAUAGUCAGAUGUGGUGUGUAGGUGGGAUGGUAAGGAAGCUACGCGCGAGCUCCGGAAUUUUUUUUUUUUUUUUUUGCAGCGUCGGCGCUCUCUACCCUUUUAUCCCGGUUGGUAUUACCAACCGGGAUAAAAGGGGGUCUUUUGUCCCGGUUGAGUGACCCGGGAUAAAAGACCCCCCCUUUUUUCCCCGGUUAGUUUAUCCCGGAUGCAUUUUCGGGAUAAAAGCACCCUACCAACCGGGAUUAAAGCUCACUUCUCUACCAGUGUAGCUUCAUCUUCCGCUGCAAGUUAAUUGCUUGGAUAAGAAGUUGUAGCCGCUGCAAGUUAUAAAUAGUCCCGCUGAUGCUGUGCUCCGAAGUCUAUACUAUAUAUGCGGAAACUAGAUUGCUUUCAGGAUUUUGGGUAACUAAAUUUAACAUUUGUACAUAAAAAUGUUAGUUUACGAAUGUUAAAUCUAGUUACCCAAGCAGAACAAGAAGAUAGUAUAUAGUAUAUACUAUAUAAAUCAAGUUAACAAUUAGUCUAAAUGUUAUAUCUACUUACCCAAAAUAUUGAAAGCAAAGAAAGAAUAAGUAUAUAUCUUUUGUUGGAAAAUUGGUCCACGGAGAGGCCCAUUUAGGCCUCGUUCGUUUCACCGGGAUGGGAUUCCAGUCAGGAUUACUUCCAAGUUCGGUUUGAGUGAUUCCACCCGUGUCACUCAAUCCGGCUAGGAUUCAUUCUAUGGGUGAGGAGGUAUGGUUUCAAUCCAGGCCAUCUAAUGUAGAAGGAUUCCAAUCCAGGCCGGUUUUCGUUCCAGGCCAGACUAAAACGAACAACACUUUCAAUGCAAGUCUGGUUUCAAACCGGGCCAUUUCAAACCACCCGGAAUGGACCUCGUUCCAGGCCAAUCCGGUGAAAACAAAUGAGGCCUUAAUGGAAUCCCAAAGCAAGAGUUCAGUGGCAUUCUAUAGUCCCAUGCUGCUAGUUUGAGUUGGUCGAAGCCAACUUAAAUAGGAGAGCUCUCUCACUUCUCUAAAUACGUAACUGAAGGAGAGAAGGGGGCUUGGGUUACACAACGCACGCACGCACGCAUAUUUGCGUUCUUUUCGCGUAACCAACCGCGUGACUUGAAACUUGCGACGUAGCGUGCUGCUAAGUCAAGUUGAUAUAACCUUUUUGCCGUUUGCAUGUAAUCUUUUGACAACGGUCAUUGGAGGUGAUAAGCACGCAGUCAAUACCUUAAUCUUGAGUUAAUAGGGUGGUUACUACUGCCAAUUAGUGGGGCAAUUUUGUAGGGGAAACGGUUAGCAGAGGGCUACCGUCUUCUCUAUAAGAAGUUCUGGAGACGUCCAGGAACACACAUGUACAUGUGAGAGACCCACAAAUUCCUUCCCUUCUCCCUUUUCCAUGUGGUGAAGUGUGCUGUGGUACUGAGCUGCUUGAUCUCGCCGCUCUUCUCCUUGGCAUGCACCGAGGAGGAGGGUGAGCGGUAUCUCCGAGCUAUUGCCGUCAGGAAGCCUGCACGAGGGACAACAAAAAGUUUUUGGGUAGCGCAACUGCCAGCACAACUCUCCCUCCGCCUCUUCUUCACGGUUGAUGGCCACCACAAGCAUAAACCUCGCCUUCGCAUCCACGCAAAAGGGUCGCUGGGGUGCCUUCUUGCAUCGCUUCUCAGCCUCCUUGACUUGCGGCCAGCCAAGAACUGCGCCACCACCUCGGGUGCACGCCACCACUCCAGGGCUGCUACCCCAUGCCUGCGGCCGCCGCCGGCCACCACGCGUGUGCAACCGCGUCGCACCGCUUCCUUGCUUUGUGCCACCACUGCUGCUGUACCACCAGCUCCACCACCUUGGGCUGGUCGCCAGAGUGACUGAUAACUUAUUAUCUGUAACUACUAUUAACUCAGGGAUACAUGCGUCUUUUGCUUCUCCUACUAAUAUGUCCUAAAAUAUCUAGGAUGCCUUAUAUUUCUGGACAGAGGAAGUAUUUGAAUAAAAUGAACCAAUUUAAAAAAAUGUGUUGUACACUACUACAGAAAGACCUAUCAGUGUCAAACCCAAAAAUGUUGUCACCGCCAGUUUUGGGCAUCAUUGGUGAAAGGUUGGCGGUGAUGGGCUUUCCCUUCAACAACGGCACUGGAGCCGACGGUGAUUGACAUUAGAAAACAAAAAAGGGGACCCUACCUAGCCACCCCUGCAACCCGGCCGGCCGUGCCUCCCCUCAUCCCCACCACCUCGCCUCCCCAUGACCCCCCGCCGGCGCCCUUGCGCCUAGCCCCCUCAACUGCCCAGCCGGCCACCCUCAUCACGAGAGAGAGGUGCAUGUUGUAUAAUUGCGUGAAUUUUUUAAUGUUUAAUUUCAUGUAAGUUCCGUGUAAUAAAUUGUACAAGUUUUAUUGUAUAUAUGAAUUCCAUAUAUAUAUAUAUAUAUUUAUAAUUUAAUGUAUGGUUUCAUGUGUAUAUUUCAAUCAUGUGUAUAUUUAGUAGAUUGCCGAUUUUCUUUUUCUACUAGACAAGGGUUGAUGUAUAAUUACGUGUAUAUGUUUAUUGUACGGGCAAUUAGGACAAGUUUUGUAUAAAUUUCUUUUAUUUGAUGGUUGUUGUAUGGUUUCAUGUAUAUACAUUUAUUGUACUACUUUAGACAAUUUUUAAUUUAAUGUUUCUAUGAUUAGAUGUGUGUAUAACUAAUUGUAUUAUUAGUUAAGAUGGGAGCUAAAGAGGAUGAAAGGUAUAUAAUGGAGCAGAUUAUUGCUAGCUCAAACGUUGCAAGAACCUACACCGAGGGUGAGGGUAGCUAGGUGGACAUGUACCUCAACAUGUCCAGUGAUGGCAAUGACGAUGAGGAGCACGAGCAUGACAUCUAUGAUAAUGCGGAACAAGACAUUGCAGAAUUGGAAGGUUCUAAUGAGGUGUGCUUCAUGUUGACAAUCUAGUUGGCUUUUUUUCGUUGGUCACACCUUAGUUACCAUAGAACUUCGUCUCGGGAGAAGAUUGGUGGUGGUAUGGUGAUUGGAAUUUUAUUUCCACGAAAUCUGAUUUCCAUCGAAUCAUAUCCCUUGUAUUUAUCUUCUUUUUAUUUGUGAGAGCAUCUUCUUUAUGCUUGCAAAACAAUUCAAGUGCACAUACUACCCCUAGGGUGACGAUUGGGAGUAGAAAUAAUUGCCAACAAAACAACACCACAUCCUAAGAUUCUUAACUUGUGGCAUAAUUAGUCUAGUAAAAAGAAAGAUAAAAACCUAAUGGGUGUAUGUGAGUGCAAUGUGUAUAUGCAUAUGAGUGGAAGGCAUAUAAGCAAAGACAAUAUUUACACAUAGUUCUAAACACCAUGUUUACAGCUAGGUUGCUGAAUUUCUCCAUAGCCAUAGAGAUUAAUUAACCAAGGUCAAAACACGAUGUCUAUCCCAAGAUCAGUAAUUAUUUAUAGCACAAGAAAAAGAAAGCGCAUUGCAAAGUUUAUAAACCAACCAAUACAGCAUGAAAACAAGAUGAAUAGCUAGCAAGGUUUAUUAAACUGAAUGAUGACGGUCUGUAAGCAAGUUUAAACACCAUCUUUACACAAGAUUGCAAAUGGAAAAUGCCCAUAUGAAGCACUAACAUGGAUAUGAAAUCAUUCAUCAUAAAGCGUAAAGAACAACCAAGCCAACCAUAUGCAAAGCAUGAAUGGAAUGCAAUGAAGGUGCAAGAGAACAUUUUUGGAUGAACACAUUAUGAUGAUGGCAAAAUGCAAUGCAUGCAGAAAAAAUAAAUAUGAACAUGAAUAUGAUGAUCAGGGGCGGACCCACUAUUGUGGCCUGGGUAUUCCUCGGCAUACCCAAUAUUUUUGGGAAAAUGUUUAGUAGUUUUUAAUGGCAUAUACAUGUAUAAUAUAGUUUAGGUGUUAAAAUUGAUAUUCACAGCUAUUUUGGGCUCCAAUUCGCGUCCAAACCAACCUGGCCCACAGACCGCACCCGGCCGCCCGGCCCAUCGGCCCAUCUUGUCACUGAUCCUCCCACCACCACACUCAGCCCGUCAGUUAGUCAGGUCCCGAGCUCCUGCCUGACCUAGUCCGCUACCACCGCCAGGCGCCAGGCACAGCUGUACACGCCGCCCCCGUCCACCCACGUCCGCCGCACGGCCGCGUCGCGCCCCCCCCCGGCGCCCGCUGCUGCCAGAACCCAUUAGGCCUCCACCGGCAAGUCCACCCACAGUCCCGCGCGACGCGGCAGCCUCUUGGCUCUCGGCGCUCGCGGCGCGCCAAUGCCUGCGCAGCCCCAGCAGGCGACUGCCCCCCCCCCCCCCGCAUCGGGCCUCGGCCCCUCCCCAGCUCCCCCUCCCCCCUCCACCAGGACUGCCUGCUGGCCCCCACCGCGAGGUAAUCGAAAUGGACUGCUCAAUCUCUCAAUCUGUUGACAUGAUGCACACGGUUGCAAAAAUAGAUGUGUCAAAAUAGAUGUAUUGCCAAUUGCUAUAGAUGCAUAUGGUUGACAUGAAGAAGUCAAAAAUGACAUUUGGUUCCUUGUAGGCAGUCAAAAAUGAAGAAGUCAAACAAUAUUGAUCUGAAAUCAAUGCGGGAAAGGGCUACGAAGACACACGGGUAGAUUCCCUUGUGAACUUUUUAUGUCGUUCGUCUAAAUAUAUUUUUGCAAUGGGCAUACCCUACUCUGAAAUCCUGGGUCCGCCACUGAUGAUGAUGGUCUAAACAUAAAACAAGCCUAGAUUAAUUAGCUACAACUGAAAUUAAGCAAAGGUUAAUGUCAUUGACCCUAGCUCUAUCCUAGCUUUUACUAAAGUCCCGGCACAUAUAGUGGUUGGGCCCACUCUCUCUACUUCCCUCUCUGCUGCAUGCACACACACGAGCAACUGGAGGCCCAACAAAGCCCAGAAGGGUUCGGCCGAACCCGUCCGAUCCAGUCUGAGCGCCGCUCCCUCCCAGCCUUCGCGCAGAUGCUCCUCCAACGUUCCUUGACCCCUCCCUCAGUGUCCCAUUGGGUUUAACAUUGUAGGAGAGGAGUCCCUUUUUUAAAAUCUCAACCACCUCCUCUCCUCAUUCACUCCACUCUCAUCUCCAUCAAACUCACCAAGAUCCACAUCGGAAAUACCUGCUUACCACCAUGGCUGGCAAAGCCCUCGUCCCUUUCACCAACUUGGGCUUGACCAUUGAUCUCGAUGGGAAAAUCACUCCAGCAAAUGUCAUUGUCCCUGUCGGCGAUCUGGCGAUGGAGGAGGUCCAGGCACUAGAGGUCGAGCCCCUAGCCAUCAUACCGCCCAAGGGGUAAAGCAGGAGCAUGACAGGCGCUGCUAGGGGUUCAGCCGAACUCCCAGUUCAGCCAAACGAGGACGGCGUCGCCUCGGCCUCCCGCUCGACUGCAUGCUUCCCCUUGCCAAGGAGGACUCCAGAACAGCGGGCGCGUGCGUCAAGUCCCUACAAAAGGCUGAAAUACAAUGAAUAUCCAGGGUCACCCUUGAAGAUGGGUGAACGCUACGCCGGGUCCUUGUUUGACUAGUACGGCGAUGCAUUCUGCCACCGCUAUGUCGUUGUCGAGAUUAGCGGAUCAAGACUUAGACUAGUAAAUUUCUUUUAUGCGCGUAAGGCUUCAGAUGGUGGCGUGGGAGACAUGGGUUUUAUACUAGUUCGGGCAAUGGAAUACCCUACGUCCAGUGUCUGGAGCUGCUUGUGUUGCCCACGCGGGGUUCUGUAGUAGGGGUUACAGGUGUGCGAGAGAGGGAGCUAAUCCCAGGUCUCUUAGGCGUGUUCCGGUCCUCUAGAUGGGAGAAGUGUGUUCUGUUUGCUUGGGAGUAUCGGUUGUGUCUGAGUUGUCUCCGGAGCCUCCUCCCGUCUCAGGUCCCCGAUUCUCCUUUCAUAGCACAAGGAGACCAUCGGGGUUACAGACGAGACCGAGCGUGGGGAGGAGUAAAGAGAUAAACAUAGCUAGGUAAAAAUACAACAAGAAAGGGGGGAACCAAGUUUCUAGGUCACCGGCGUCCUCGCCGGCCUUCGACUUCCGCCGGCGCAUUUGUCGGAGGAGGGUGGCCGCCAUCGCGUUCUGUCGAUGGCUUCCUCGGUGACUGUAGCCACCGGGCGUGAUGAUGGCAUUUCGUCGUGACCCUUUGUCUGUUGGGGGAGGCGGCGGAUCCUGCCAUUCUGCUGACGGCUCGCGGAGUGCGAACGUCGCAUCCCUGCCGCUGGGCACGCGGGGCGCGAGAACGUGCGAGGCUUCCCCCUACCCCAGGCGGCGCAGGCCAUGAGUGCCCUGUGGCAAAUCGGAGGAGGCCGCAGCUACUGUAGCUUGUACUGUGCAGCCACGUAUGGGUACUUGUGGCAGGUUGCGUGGUGGAUGCGGAUAUCCUUCUCCCUGACAGAUCUGCGGCGCAUUUAUGGCGAGAUCGACAUGGGGACCCACAAGACCCGCGCCCAAGGCGGAUACUUGUCUGGAGGGCCCGGGUUAGCCUGACCCCCUACGCUUGGGGUCGGGCGAGGCGGAGACUUGCGGCGGGGCGUCGGACGCUCCCGACACUAGACCUGCGGUCGCGCAAGGCGGAGCUUGGUCUUCCGGGGGUCGGGGGUGCCGGACCCCAGGAUGCGGGGUCGGGCGAGGUGGAGCGUAAUUCUUGCCUCCCAUGUUGGGCCGAUGGCAGUCUUUGUUACCUCUAGUGGGCUUGGGCCUUUAUGUUUUGUUGUUUCCAUGGGCUUCGAGAGGUCGUUAAUAUUUCCCCCCAACAGUAGCCCCCGAGCCUGUGGUGGAGUGGGGGCGCUCCUCCGGAGGCUACUAUCAUCGCCCCUAGGGAAUCCUCGCAGUUGAUCCGGGAUAGGAGGUGUUGUUUGCACGGCUUGACCGAGGGGGUCGAUUAGGCGACGCAUCCUGUGAGCGACUCGGUGCGGGAGGGUUUCUUGUUGUUCCCUUCUGUCUGAGAGCCUUAAGUCGAGACCACCUGCGUGGCCUUUGGUUGCAAGGCCAGCCCCCGAGCCCCCGCACGUUGCAGGGGACCGGUCGGAGGCUAGGUCGACUUUUGUUCAUUACCCUCAAGCGUCUGUUCGCUAGGACGGAGGGGGCGAGCCGUGCCAUGCUAUCCUCAUCGGACGAACCAUGGUGCUCAUUGAGUUACUAACGGGUUGAUUCGAGUGGGAUCCCGGUCCCCGUUCGGGGGGGGUCCGGCUUGGGCCAAGCUGGUGGCGUACCCCAGGCUCCGGUCGGCCAGUUCAUAUAGUUCCUGAGUCCGUUCGGUCGGACCGGGGGCUCAUUGCCUUUCUUCGGGGAAAAACCAUGAACUUUGAUGCCGGUCCAGACUCGAAUGUGAGAUUGAGACGCCCGGGGCUGUCGCGUGCCCGGGUGAUGGCCGCUAGCGGACCCGUCUCCUCUCACCCCUCACUCGGGGGUAUCCUGAGGCGGCUGUCGAACCCGUGGCGGGCCAGCCUUCGAACCUCUGGAUCGUAAUGGGCCGUAGGGGCGUUUUCAGCCCCGUAUCCCUUUUUACCUUUUGGUGGGCCUUGGGCCGAAUCAUGGAGGAGGUCGGGCCUUGGGCCGGAUGCGGAGGAUGUCGUGCCUUGGGCCGGAUGUGGGGGACGUCGUGCGUGUCUUCCGGGAGACGAAGUGGUGGAGGGUGCCAACCCGCGAAUCGAGGGAGGAGGGGAUGUUUCUACUGCAGGUCAUGCGCACGGUUUCCGAAAAGGCAGCGGGCGUGACGGGACGUACCUCGCGCCGCAUUUAUUGCGAUGGGGGCGUCUGUUCUGCUUCCCUCGUGCCUUCCCUAUAAAACGAGGACUUCGCCUCGCCGGUUCCGCCCGCCAUCUACCUUCAAGCCUUUUCGCCUCCUCGCGCGCCCUUAGCUUUCCUGUGCCCGCUUCGUCUUCCUCCGCCCAGUGCCGCGCCCUUUCUCCCCAUCCGCCGUCGAGUUCUUCUCCCUCCGGCGAUGGGAUCCUGGGCGCGUUCCCACUUCGGCCCCUCACGCGCCGAAGGCCUAGUGAGGAAAGGCCUCCUUUGCGAGAGGACGGAGACGGAUGAGUGGGGGUUCCCUGAGAUGGAAGAGGUGCCGACUCCGCCCACCGGCUACGUCGUUUCCUUUGCCCACUUCCACGAGAGGGGGUUUGCGACUCCGCCGAGCCUCUUCUUCCGCGGGCUUUUGUAUUACUACGGGCUUGAGCUGCAGCACCUCAACCCCAACGGGAUUCAGCACGUCGCGGCGUUCGUUGCGGUGUGCGAGGGGUUCCUGGGCAUUGAGCCCAACUUCUCGCUGUGGAAGUACUUCUUCACGGUCAGCCUAUACCAGAAGGCCGAGAAGAGGGGAAGCCAGCAGCGGUCGACCCCGGUGCCGAUAGGGUGCGUCGGAAUCCACCUCUGCCAUACUCGCGCCAAGGAGUAUAUCGCGAUGAAGACCGCGGCAUCCCACAAGGGGUGGCACCAGCAAUGGUUCUACGUGAAGAACUACUCCAACCCCCCCUGCCGGAGUUCACCGGCCGCAUUAUUGAAGCGGCGCCGGAGGUGUGGGUGUACGGCCCGGUGGAGAAGGAGAAGAAGCGGAUCACCGGCCUGCUGCAGGCCAUCGAGCACCUGAAGGAGAGGGGACUGACCGGAGCCGGAGUCAUCGGGGCGUACCACGCCCGGCGGGUGGCGCCGCUGAUGCUCCGGGUCCGCUCGCUCGCCGACAUGACCCCCGGUGCUCUCACCGAUGGCACUGUCCUCGCGACGGGUGCUCUCGCUGCCUCCGAGAUCCGGCAGCGGAUCCGGGAGGCGCUGGAGGACAAGGACGCCGAUUACCCGGUGCCCGGCCACCCUCCGAUGCGCCCGGACGAGAAUUUCAUUGAUCUGGUAAGGAUUUUGCGCGCCAGUUUCCCUCUCUUGCGUUUCUUGGUAUGCCGUUCUGACGCGAGGCCCUCUGUGUUUGCAGGGUAGCAUGACCCGGGUCGUCGACUUGCGUCCGCCAGUGUCGGAGGACGCCGAGUGGCGGUAGCAGAACCGUCUCCUUGCCGAGAAGCAAAAGUGACGCAAGGACAAGAGACAGCGAAGAAGAAGAAGAGGGCCGCCAAGGAGUUCCAGCGGCGGCGGUGGGGAUAGGUCGUGUCGGAUGACGAUGACGAUGAGAAGGAGGAGGAGGAUGACGAGGAGGAGGAGGAGUUUAUCCUGUCCCCCCGGUCAGGGGCGCUUGUUAUCCGGGAGCCGCGCUCCCAAGCGGCCAUGGGGGACAAGGCGGGCGAGCUGCCUGCCCGGACCCGAUCCUGCGAAGCUUUGGGGGCGCGCCCCAGGGGUCGGCGCAGAGCGCCCCCCGGGGGUCGACGGAGCCGACCCCCAUCCCUACACCUGCAGCCCAGGAGCAGAGGAGCAGCGACAAGCGGCCGUUGCCAGAUGCCCCGGGGUCGGCGUCCAGCUCAGAGGCGAAGCGCGCGCGCCGCCCUUGCGCUGGGGGAACGUGAGUUGAAUUUCCUUGCGAAUCUCGUUCCUUUCCAUGCAUUGUGUUUGUUUCCGCUGAUGCUGUUUGUUGUCUCACAGCACCGCCCCUCAAGGCCUUGUCCCGCCGUUGGCGCCAAAGAAGGCGUUGCGGUGUUGUCGCCUCUGCGGGGCGGACCGCGGCUCCGCCGGCGGCGAGUGGCGGGGUCACUGGUGAGACCGCGGGUCCUACCGCGGAGGUGGCCCCUGCGGCGGCAACCGGUGGAGUGGUGCCACCGCCGGGCAUGGGACAGGGUCUGGACCCCGCUCCGUCCUCCGCCUCUUCGGCCGACCCCGCGGUGCAGAGUAUCGCUCCUGGGGGCCCUCAGGCCGGGGAGGUGAUUGACCUCGACGCCGACGAGGUGGAGGAGACGGCGGCGGUGGAGACGGGGGCGGUUGCCCCAGCGGCCAUGACGGGGACGACGACGGCGACGGGGGAAGGAGAGUCUACCCCCGCGGCCACGGCGGGGACAGUGGCGACAGAGGAGGCGGGGACGCCCGCCCCGGCGGCUGCGACGGAGGAGGCGGCGGUGACGGAGACGGGGGCUUCCGCCCGGGAAGCCACAGCCGAGGUGGCAGCGGCGACGGAGGUGAAAGUGCCUGUUCUGGAGGCCACGGUGGGGGUGGGGACGCCUGCCUCGUGGCCACGACGGAGGGCGAGGCGGCCCCAGGGACACUUGCUCCGGCACCCGCGUUGGAGGCGGUGGCGCCGACGGGUUGGCCCGUGGCGGCCUCGACGGGGGCGGGGGUGCGUGCGCCGGGACCGUCGGUGAGGCCGGCGACUUCCGGGAUGGUGGUGCCCGUCUUGACGGCGGCGGCGGCGCGGUCGGCCCCCGCCCUUGCCUCUACCACUCCCAUUCCCAAGGCGUGGAGCGGAUCCGUCCUGCGUUGGUCGUCUCGUGACGACCCGCAGAGGCCCCUCUUCACGUUGGAUGAUGCCACAGAAUGGGGCAAGUGGCAGGCGCUGCAGGGCGGACUCGCUAACGUCCGCGCCGCUCUAUCUUCGGCGUUGGGGGAGCUGGACGGCGUCAUCUUCCCCGGUGGCCGGGUAUGGUGCUUUCUCCGUUGGUUAUUUUCUUCCCGUUACUUCGUCCCUGAUGGCACAUUGUUCUGCAGGCCCUCCAAGAAUGUAGCCGGGGAAAAUCUGAUUUCCUUUGGCUCGAGCAGGGGCUCUGGGAGCGCUUCAACUUGGAGUUGCAGCGGACCGGGGAGCUGACCAUGCAAGUCGCCACCGUCUAGCAUGUCAUCGACGAUCUGCGAAGGCACGAGCAGGCGGCACAGGAGGACGCGCGGCGGGCGGAGGCCAAGUUCCAGGUCGUUGCCGAAAGGGCUCGCUGCGACCGCGAGGAGUUCCAGGCCGUUGCCGAAAAGGCCCGCCACGACGCUGAGGAGCUCGCACGGCUGAAGGUGCAGCAUGAAGCUCUUCAGAAGAGCGGCAGAGGGCCUGGCAGGACCGGGACGCCGAGAAGGUCCGGAAGGAGGAGGCUGAGAAGGUGGCGGCCAACCUUGGGGCUGAGGUCAGCCAGCUCCAAGUGCAAGCGCGAGAGCUUCAGGCCUCCGUGGCCCAGGGGCUCGACCAGGAGCGCCAGCUGAAGGCCUAAUCCGAGGGUAUGACUCUGUUUAUUUCUUUGUCUUUGUGAUGUUGCGGUGAUAUUUUAUUUGGCGGGUUCUUCUGGAUGAUCCUUGCAGAUGAGCUCAACUGGCUGAGGGAGGUGCUUGACGCGGAGCGCGCUGAGCACGGCGACCUGCGGGACGCGGUCCGCGUCAUCUGUGACUUCCUUAGUGUGGUCCAGGGGGAGGGGACGAGCUCGCUGGCGGCUCGUGUCCUCGGGACGUACCGCCGGACCAGCGAGAUCGCCCUGGAAGCGCUUCGCACCGGCUUGAGGCAAGCCUUUGGGGUCUUCGGCUCCCACUAUUCCGGCAUCAACUUCGCCGGGAUGAGCGGGGGAUACGCCACCGGCUACUACGAGGCCGAGCUGGAUGAGAUCGACGUGUCGGUGCUCAGCCCGGCGGAGGCCUUGGUGAAGCUCCUCGAGGAUGAGGCCGUCCCGCCCGAAGAUCCCCGGACGAGUUAACUAUAUCGGGCUGGCGCCCCAGAUGUAAAUACGUUAGGGAAAGACUUGUUUUUUGUGAGGGCCGUAGAGGCCUUUUCUAUGAAUUGUCGUAAAAAAGUUUUUGAUUCCCUUUCUUGCUUUUUGGACUUGGAAAGUUUAGAGCACGUUGUCGGGCGUGUCAGUAAGCUUUGAUGAGCGAAGGCACCGUAGCCGCUGGGGCGUCGUUUUUUUUGCAGUCCGAUCAAUCUUGCCUGAACACCGUUCGUGCACUUUCUCCUUUUUAUGCCCAAAAGUUCAGAAAGAGGGUCGGCUCGGAAAGAGAAAGCGUUUUGAGAGGGUGUCAAGUGGCUUAGGUACUUGCGGCAGGUUGCGUGGUGGACGCGGAUAUCCUUCUCCCUGACAGAUCUGCGGCGCAUUUAUGGUGAGAUCAACAUGGGGACCCACAAGACCCGCGCCCAAGGCGGAUACUUGUCUGGAGGGCCCGGGUUAGCCCGACCCCCUACGCUUGGGGUCAGGCGAGGCGGAGACUUGCGGCGGGGGGUUGGACGCUCCUGACCCUAGACCUGCGGUCGGGCGAGGCGGAGCUUGGUCUUCCAGGGGUCGGGGGCGCCUUACCCCGGGAUGCGGGGUCGGGCGAGGCGGAGCGUAAUUCUUGCCUCCCAUGUUGGGCCGACGGCAAUCUUUGUUACCUUGGGUGGGCCUGGGCCUUUAUGUUUUGUUGUUUCCAUGGGCUUCGAGAGGUCGUUAAUAUUUCCCCCCAACACUAUGAGGAGGACUUGUGGGCAGAAAGUCAGCUACCACAAACUUGCCUCUGAAUAUUUGGAGUGCAAACAUUGGAUGGUGGUUGUGGAGAGCCCCAGCCAUACCUCGCACCCGUGGAGAGGUAAUUGUCGGAUUGCUUGGUUCGUCUCUAGAAUGCGACAAGGUCAGGCGCCACCUCUCACUGCUGCCAGUCAGAAGGCCGAGGGGCCAGUUUCAACAUAGUAAUGAGAAUCUCCGAAGGCCAAUAUGGUUAAGCAGCUAACCUCCAUGAUCAUAGACUUACGUUUAGAAAAUAGGAGGCUUAGCGAUGCGUUAACAGAGCAGAAGUUAGAAACAGAAGAACUUAAGGACGACUUCCGUGUCCUCCGCCUUGGUCUUUGUGCUAAGAUAAAGCGCUUGUACAAUGCCACGGGGAAUGACGGUCUCUACGAUGCAGCUCAAUAGACGUGCCCCUUGUAUCCUUUCCUUUAGGCACUUUAGAAUAUGUUUAUUUGUUUUCCUUCAUUUUAAUUUCCAAUAGAUUGUUAGCGCCUCCAAUUUAAUUUCAAUAAAGUGUAGACUCACCGGUCAUCCAACUUGAUGGAGUCCUUUUGUCACCUAGUUGUCUUUGGAAGAAGUAGCUGGGUACAAAAUAAGUGUGGGGGAGAGCCACAGACUCUCUAGAGCUGAAACAAUGCACAACACCCACAAAUAGAGAAAACCACGCUGCACCAGCACGUACGUGAAAGUGGAGCCAGAGCUGGACCCAUAGGGGUUUGGCCAACCCAAGGGGUGGCCCACUCGGGCCAUCUUCAUCCACCGCGUCGGUUUGUGUCUCUUUACCCCUGAUCUCCCUGAUUCAUGAGUUUGAAUGAAUUUUAAAUCUGAUCAACUAAUUCAAACUCAACUAAAAUGAAUCAACUGCUCCACCUGCUCUACAUGUUUUCUAUGGUUGGCUUGCAUAUGUUUUAUUUCAUGCUUAUCAUCUUGAUGCUUGUGAACAAAUAUCUUUAGGACAGCAUGCUCAUCUAAGUAGUUGAUGUGUAUGAUAUGGUUCGAUGAUAUGAUCUUCACUCUUAAUGCUUAAGUGCUUGGGAAAAUCUAUUUGAAAAUUUAAAAGCCUUUUUGAAAUCUCCUCUUUGAUGUGCCAAAGUCCUACCAAAGCCAUAUGAUAAGUUAUCUUGAAAAACCAUUUGCAUAUGUUGCUUGUCUUUGCAUUGAGCUUUGUCAAAUUGGUGUGACCCUUGUCACAAUUCUUUUCAUACUUUCAUGAUCAAGACUCAUGUGCACGCCAUAUACCCCUUGCUAUGCUUCUAUGAGAUGUUAGCAUUGUACCAUCCAUUCAUUCCACAAAAUAAAUGCUCCACCAUAUGUGUUGGUCUCCUUCUAAGAUUAUUGUUACAAAAGAGAUAUGGGCUAUCAAAAAAAAAUAUGAAUGUCCAAGAAAGUUGGACACAUGAAUGUCCAAUAAAAAGAAAAAGAAAGAUAGCCAUGUCCUCAGAAAUAUUUACAAAGGGAGAGAGAUCAUACAAAAAGGAGUUUCCAUUCCAUCCACCACAUCCAUACAUGUGCACAUCUUGAUCUGAUUGUAUGACUUAUUUUUCUCUUUGGAUCUGGUCUUUGACUUUGCAAUAUAUGUGAUGCAAGCAUGCCUUAUCCUUCAUAGCCUACCUUGAGCUCCACAUAUAGCCAUCAUUAGAAGUAGGAUGAAGAAAGGCAAGUCUAAUGCCUUGGUGAGGACAUAUACACAUUGAGUGAUCUGAGAGAAUCAAAUGAGGAGCUAAGCAAGGUUUUGUUUUGAAAACUAAUUGAAAAAUCCCAAGCUACUUGGCAUAAGGAGUUGAGGUGACUUGAUUCAAGACCAUUACAUUCCUCAACUACCCAAGAUGGCAUGAUAGACACUCCAAAGUUCACAAGUGCAGGUAUGGUUUGGAAUAUCUUUUAGGCUCGCUUCAUACCUUUGAAAGUUAUGUUUCACCUUAGUCCUUUCUCGUUCACUCAAGGAUAAGCAAAGGCUAAGUGUGGGGGUGUUGUUGAUGGCUCUUAAGUACAAAAUCUGCGCCAUCAACUCUUGCAUAAACACAUAAAAUAUGAGCAUCAACAAUAGUGGUAGGAGUUAUUACAAACGAAUUCCACAAGUCUUGGUGAAUAUUUGUAUGCAAGCCCAAUAGGAGAGAAAAGACACCUCAAAAGCAAGGAAACACACUCUCAACCAAUCAAGAGCAAGCACAUGGAACCAUGGGCCCACAACCAAAAGGAAAUCGACUACAUUCCAAACACCCUAUACCCACAUGAGAACCCAUAGGGCAGUGACCCAGAGCAAAGGUGAUGCCAGAGUGUAGAUGGUAGUUAGCAUGCCAAAUUUUGAACCGCAAGCGCUCGGAUUAGUUGUUUCUUUUCCCUUAGAGAUUCCCCCAAGGUUUAUCAAUCCAUGGAACAAGGGAUUUGCACGUUUCACUAAGCACUAAUCAAUGUAAUUGAAAGCUUUUCGAAUAAGAUAUGAUUAUGCUAACAAAGGAACUAAGCAAUCUAGAUUAAGAUGGAUAGAGAGUACAGGUUGUGAACAAGAUAGAUUAAACGCUUGUAGAUGCAAUCACCAUGCAUGAAUGAAUUAGAUCUAGGUGUUAUUGUGAGUGGUUGUGAACCAUGCCCAACACUUUCCCACCCGCAACAUUGUCACUACAUGUGGGUACUCAACUAUCGGAACAUAAGAACACAUCAAGAUGAUCAUUCUAGGUAAGCAAAUAAGCAACCCAAAGUAGCGCUGGCCAGCCUUUUCAUGAAAGAGCAUCAUCAAGAUAAGAUUGAUAACAAAAUAGAUCUCAACCAAAGGUUCAGCGAUUACAAAUCAAGAUCUUCGUAUAACCCCGAUGACAAAUAGAGGUAUUACCCCCAUGAUCUUACACAUGUUGAUGAAUUUUAGGGUAAAGGACACCCUGUAGAUCAACUGGACCAAAGAUGAUGAUGAACGGGGGCAGGGAAGGCCCAGGUUGAUCAGCCUGCGCACUUUUGAGCCGAUCAGCUCAGGGGGUUUCCUCCUCCCCUGGUGCUCCUCUUCGCGUGGCCUCCUCUGGAUCCAAUCUUCUCUUCAUUUCUCCUACUUGUGGCGGCAAUGGAUGGUGUUUGCAUGGUGAUUUCCUCUUCUCCCCAACUCUCCCUCCUUGAAGUCCAUGAGGGGGUAUUAAUAGUCUCCAAUAGGCGGCAGCUCUGGGUCAAUGUCAGUGAAAAAAUCCUAGAGAUCAUCGUACACUUCAUGCUGAGGAAACAAGAGGUUGACCGAGCCCUGGGAUAGACCAAGAGGAUCAUCCUAGAGGGUCCCAGGCUAAUCGGUCUAGGCCCUUCCUAGCCCUUCUAGUCCUCUCCUUCCUCGUGCUGGCUUUUCUCGAUGACCCUUGUCCAAAUAUCCAUGAAGCUCUAUAUACAUACCCCCUUGAUUAUGUUGUAUUUCCUGUCAAAAUACAAUGCUCCAAAAUACAACACAUAUGCAAUAAUAGGGUUAUUUCAGGUGCCAAUUGGUGGGUUAGUAUACGAAUAAGCAUGAAAAUACUGUUUAAAUGACACUAAAAGUGUGUCAAUAACGAGCACCAACAAUCCCCCCACGCUUAGAUCUUGCUCGUCCUCGAGCAAGUCUAGCGACUAAAAGAUCUUGAAUUAAACCUGAGCAAGCGAGUCAAGUACCUAGCCUUGAAACAAAAGAUUAGAGGAGCAGCAAAGAUAAUCAAAGUCUGGGUGUUCAAAGAUUUAUCUAAGCAAAGAUUCCCCUACAACUAUUAUUCAGAACCAAGUAACUUCAAAAAUCAACUACACUUAUUUUCUGGCUUUUUUCAGAGGGUUUUUCUUUCAUCAUAAAACAAUCUCCCUGCAACAAAAUUGAAAAAAGAAUUAUUUUCAAGGUGCUUACAUGUCGCUUAAAUGAAUGUUGGCUAUCCUACUUAUUUGCAAGCUCUCAUCUCUCAAAAUUCAUUCAAUUAUAUGGUGGAGUUUGGGUAAGGUUAGCUAGAAUCAACACGUAUAUUAUUGAAUUAAGAAAACCCUCUAACGGUGGCCUACCUUCCGAGCCAUUGAUCAUAAGAAUAUCCACAUAAUGUGAAGUUUUCAAGGAUGAGAAGAUAUAGAAUGGUGGACAUGUGCAAAGGCAAAGAAAUAUAGUGACUCUGAGGCACAAGCAAUGUCCUCGUCGUUGGAUUGCAUAUGGUUGUAAUGAAAAUAUGUUCCUUAAACAAGUCUAUCUUUUCUUUGCACCACUCUUGAUCUUCAUGACAGUAAAAACUCCUCCUUUAUUUCUUUCUCUCUUUUCCUAUUAUUUCUUUUUAUUUGUCUCAAUACUUUUAUUUCUUUAUUUCUUUAUUUUAAUCUCUUCUCUGAACCUCUUCUGAACACCACAUAAUAAAAAUAAGUUUUAGAUCCUUCCAGAGACCUUCCAGGAAUUUGCUACAUGAAAACCGAGGCAAGGAGACCCCAGGCCGAUUGGCCUAGCCACUCCUUUGCUCUCCUCUAGCUCUUCUUUCUGGUGAAGCUUCCUUAUCUUGUAUCUUUCCAAAAAUUUCAUAAAGCUCGACUAGAAACGGAACAGAUCUUCAUAUAAUGAGUUGUGUUCAAGGAAUUGGUAAUAAAAUUGAGAAAUUUGUGGUUCGGGUUUACGAAUUCAGUACAAAAAUAUGAUUGUUCCAAUGAAGAACUCUCAUUACUGAAUAUUGACGAGGCAAGCAUUCAAAGAUGGUAAAAAGGAUAUGAUCAAUUCUCAAAAUUAAAGCAAACCAAGAGAGAGCGAUCCUAAUUCAAUUCAAAGUGUCAAAUGUUGCUUAUGGUGGUAUGAAUAAAUAUUUUUAGGCAUUGGGUAGGAUAAAUAAAAACUCUCAACCUGGUUAAAAGAUAUUGAUCAAUCUUGUUUUUGCAGAGGUUUUAAAUAAAAAAUAAAAUUUUAAAUCACCUCCAAUUCAAAGCCUUACUCAUAAAUCAUAAUCAAAACUGAAGCACUUGAUCAUCAUAAAGCAUGGGUAUUGCAUAAACAAAUCGAUUACUAAAACUCCACAACUACGAUUUAGAAUUCAAGACAAUGCUCAUAAUCUAAAGUUGCAAAGAUAAAAUAAAAGACAACCAAGCCAAGGUAGACACUAAAAACACUUGCACGAUCCUUGAAUUUUAUUCAUGCUUCUUCUCACAAAGACGCUAAAGUAGCCAUGUAGGCCUAAGUCUUCCCAAAAGCUUAAGAAAACUACUACUUUAUCUACUUUUGGUUGAAAUAAAAAGACUAAUCUAGACUCUCACAUGAUUCGACUCGACCAAAUUAGAUCCAAAAACUCAUACGAGCGACGAUCUCCCCCCCCUCACGCUUAAAAUCUACGACCUCCUCGUCGUAGCCAUAUGGAGUACAAGGAAAAGAAGCUUGUAAACGCUCUAAUGACGCUACCCGCACUACUUGCACACGGGAUGGUUGCUGCUUCCUUCGCUUUGUUCUUCCUCAUGUUGCUGCACAUCCCGAAGAGCUUCCUCACGUUCCUCUGCAAGAACUUGAACUCGUCCUCCUGACGGCGAUCAUUAUCUUCUGCCUUUUGAUCCAGAGCUUGUAAGGCUUGCAUGAUGUCAUCGAACGCAUCGAAGAGGUAGUGGAUGUUCUUCCUGCAAGCUGUGGAACAUGUACGAUCAUGCUCCUCCGAUUCUGGCCCGUCGUCUUCUAGAUCCUUCUCUUUGCCCUUGUCUUGACGGUGGCUAUCUUGCUCCUUGCUCGCCUUCUUGCCUUCAGCCCAAUCCCAGUACGUGUUGUCAUCUUCUUCAUCGUCACGGCCUGCAGCACCCUAUGAUCCAUUGUCUAUCUUGUAUGAAAGAAUCAGAAGCUUGUUCUCCUCAGGGUGUCUUGCGCGGUGCAGCGUUUGCAAGUGCAAGACUUGCUAGUUCCUUUUACACAUUGUAAUGUUCAUUGCAUGCUCUAAUUGUUCUACAUUUGUAAUUUCUUGGUGAAGUUUGGUUACUGAUCCACUGUUUGAUUAACUCUUGGGCCCAAACACUGUACUACUUCUGAUUAGAUAUCUGUAUCUUGACUUUGACCAAAAAAAAUAUCCGGCAGUUUUUGCCAUUAAAGUUUCAUAAAUCAUCUUGCAAAAAUCGUACUAUACAACAAGGGACGGUUUAUUAUAAAAUAUACGUUCCCCUUAUCACAUGCCACUUCCACUCAAAAGGCAACGAAUCAGUUUUCAAUCCUGAGUGAGCAAUUUGCUUUUAUUACCGAUGCCUCCUAUUCCCUUGUGCACCAAGUUUAUUUUGGAUAGGGCUGCAAAAAACGACUAACCAGCUCGGAUUCUCCACCUGCAAAACCGCAUCUGCAGCAACCAACCCCACGCGGUGGAAAAAAAAACAAAACCUAGAAACCGGACGGGGGUGGAUGUGGGGCUCGGAGCCCAAGCAAAAAACGGAUCGGGAGCGCCGGAGCAGGCCAUCACCGGAUGUUAGAGAUAGAAAAUGGUUGAAGUUUGGAGUGGAAAUCAAACAAGCCUUGGAGCAAAGGAAAAAAAAAGAUCAAACCACUCAAGCAUUCAUUUGAUUUAGAAAAGAGAACAUUUGUUAAGGUGGGGAGUUGAAAUCAUCUUUUAAUUAGUUCCACGUAUCUGGUAUCAUUACAGUUGGUUUACUUGUGUAAGUAUAAGUAGCUCUGCCGAAGCCUUUGCUCCUAUAAUUUAGUAACUAGUACAAAUGGAUCAAUAGGAAAAUCAAGUUGCAAUCAUUUCUCAGCCAACCAAACCUAUGUAAAUCAAAUUAUUGUCCAUGCCCGGCAUGCACAGGUGCCUGCCAUGCAUGCAUUGUUGCUCCAUUGUAAUAACCAUUAUUGUCCAUCGAUGUUGCAGCGCAUGUGUGCACUGUGCAGACACCAAGCAUCGAGAUUAUGUACUAGUAAGGUGUUGAAAUAAUGGGCCUAGCCCAUAAGUAAUUUCAGAAUUUCAAAUAAAUCUCAAAGGCCCAUGUGGGCAAGAGGUGGAGUGGUGCAAGUCUUUAGUCCCACAUUGCUAGUCGAGGGGAGGGAUGACCAACUUAAAUAUGGAAGUUGUCUCCACUCCUCCAAGCUAUGUGUGAAGGGCGCGGGCGCGAGGCACUUGCGUGAAUGGUCCGCCGAAAUCUGGCCCCCCUUGCGGGGGCGCGGCUUCCUUUUGCCGUUUUAUUUUUUGGUUACUUGGUCGUUAAGUCAUGGAAUCCUAACCGGUUUAGAUCACGAUCGUGAAGGUUUUUGGGAAGCGCUCUGCGCGACUGCUCGAUCGCUUCUUCCGCUUCGUCAAGUUCUUCGUCGACUCCUUCACCACGGCUCGUCUACCUCUUCGUCGCUCGGGCCUCACUCGUCGUCGCGAACAACGUCAGGCUGCUGAUCGUCGUCGCCUGCUGUAUCCGGUAGUCGUCCAGGAGCCGGUUUUCAUCAAGAAAGAAACGUACGGUCUCUUAACUCACAUUAUGUCUUCCAUACUAGCUAUUAUGAUUGUUGCAGUCUGAUAGCUCUGGAUAGUAUGGUAGAAUGUCUGAUUCUAUUUGCAAUGAUAGACUUGUCUAGAUCUUGCGUAGACAUGUCUAGUUUAAUCUGCUGCUUGUUCAUCAUAUUCAUGAUUUAUUUCUGGAUUAAGUUAAAACUAAAAGUGCUUAUAUAUCCAACAUAAGGUACCAAGAACACGUGAAGCACCCGGGGGAGGCUGCUCCACUCCGCAUGCACAGGUGGGCACGGCACCACUACUCGUCUCCUUCAGGCUGAGGAUAAGUGAUGUACGCUGAUCAACAGACCACGACGGAACCAGCAAUAAUAGUUUCAGCCUGCCUCACAGUAAUUAAUAUAUCCUGUAUCCUCCGAGGACCCCUCCCCUUAAUCUUGGCCUAUUGCAUCCAAUAAUGAUAUGUGUGUUUAUCCAAAUUUACGGCACCUUUGGCGGGGGUUCCACCCAGCUCCGCCCUCUCCACCUUCGGUACUCCAUGGGAAACCAUUCCUUUGGAAUCAAGGAAGCUUGAACAGUAUAACGAAUAAAGUUUCAUAUAUCCAUUUGAUUUCACAUGAAAUAAAAUAUUCUGUCAGAACCAAUGGUUUCACUGAAGCUCCAGGCAGCGAGCGAAGGGGUGAGAGAGGAUAACGCUUACUGUGUGUUACCAUCGCGUGCACCAUGGAUGACCAACGCGCAGCCGAGAUGAAACGGCGGACCUAAACAGGUCCUCGCUAUUUUUGCAGGUUCUCGACCAGGCCAGUUCUUUAGGCCAACCUAUCAUUCACGAGUUAAACAUACGGUGGCUGGAGAAAUGUUCUAUUCUUUUAAACAAUACCAGCUGGUUCCUCCGUUUUUAUUCCACCAAUACAAGCACCACCUUGUAACAUUUCCUAUGUUUUUUUUCCUUUCGUCUGUUUUCUCACUACAUGCGUUGCUCUUUCAUGCAUUUUUUUCCAUUCCUGUAUUCCAAAUAGGUCUACAUGAACACAAAAUGAACUAGGGGACAGAAAAAGCCAGUGAAGUUAGUUUUGAGCUUCACCAGCUACUUGCUACAUAAAGUGUGCUAUAGUCGCAGAAAAGCUAAGCUGGAUCAGACGUGGCCGAAACAAUGCCAAAGAGCUAGGUCCCUAGCUGAUGGCAACACAUCAGAUGACUAGCCUGCUUUUCUGUAAUAAUGAUAUUGAGCAAUACACUGCAUGGCUAACCUGCUUUACAAUAAUUGUCAUUUUAUAAUAUUGGUCAUCACGAGAGAUGCACAUUGCAUACACCGGCCCAUCCCUAUAAAUAGCCAAGCCUUUCAGCCAUCUUGGGCACCUCCUCUCAGGGCCUCGUCUCACCAUCAGACAUCUCGUUCCCAGUUAUAAUUUGCGAGGUUAGAUCAGGCUGCGCCAUGGCGUCCGCAACUGCUGUCAAGAUCGUCGCCACCUUCAUGCUGGUGCUGACCAUGGGCCACCUGAUGGCCGAAGCAUCACCGCAGCCUCGGCGUGUGCUUGCAGAAACGGAGCAUGCUGCGGUGUCCGGGAAUCCUGGCCUCCCAGGUGAUGCUAGCGUCAUGCAGGUCCUCGAACCCGCCCUAGUUUCUCGGCUUGCCUGCAAACCAGAGUGCACAGUCCCUUGGCCUCCUUUUGUAUGUAUCUGCUAGAUCCUCUUCCUGGCUCAACGGAACUUCAGGGAAAUGGCUGUGACGUCGGCCAAAGAAUAAAUUGGAUGAACAUAAUAUACCCCGGGUAGUGUAGCUUGGGCUUUUGUUGAGCGUCUGGUGCUAGUUGUAUUUUGUUUGCUCAUGUGGCUUUGCUUCUGGUUGCAUAUUGGCUUUCCUAUCGCUCUCUGUUGCAGCUAUGGUUUCUGCCAGGUGUGUGUUAAUGCGGUUUGUAAGCGGUGCUUGUUCCUACCUUCUGUUUUCAAUAAAAGAAGUCGGAGUCUCCCUCCGACUCUUGUUAUCAGUCAACAAAAAUGAGUUGUAUCAUAUAUAUCUGCGUCUUUUUUCUACGUAUCUUUGGGCUGCUUCAGCUGGAAGUUUAUCGUAAGUACGUGUAUCAGGAUGAUCGUUUGAAUUAAAACGAAAUGAUAAUGUGUGGCUGCUAGAAAUGGAAUGAGCAUCUUACUAUAUUACUAAUUGGAAGCCUCCACGUGAAGCCACCUAGAAAUUCUAGGUGGACGUUUUAAAAAAAACAAAACUCAUAGAAGCCUCCACCACCUAGGAAUCCUAGGUGGACACUCUAAAAAGAGACAAAUCCUAGAAAUUCUAAAAAAAGAAAAAAAUAAUAACAAUAAGAUUUUUUUGCAGUCAAUUACAUAUAUUUUUUUGAGACACCGUGCUGCUAGCUCUUGCCAUUGCGACCAGUAAAGCAAGCAGAUAGUAAGAUGACAUGCGUGUGGAUUGAUUAAAACAAAUUCAGUUAGUUGAUUCUAAAUCGUAUGUAUCCUAAAAGGAAGAUAUGUGCGUGCAUGGUCCCUAGCGAUGACAUGUAGACAUGUAUUGCAAUUUCUUUUUUAAAAAACAUGUCUAUCUCUAAACCAACAAACAGAAAAAAUAUCAAUCUAAAUCUAAAUCUCUUCCGUUCUCACACGCCUAUUAAAGAGAAGACAACCAAUCCCAUCCAUGUUCCAUAGAAUCCAUCUAAAAGCUUGCUCACUGCGGACGGCAUUUGACGGCAAAUCAAUGAAAGAUCAUCCUCUCCAAAUAGCUGGACGGCAUCACCAUCUUUAUCUCACCAACCUACAGAGCUACAACGAUGUUGUAGAGAUCAACUAGGUAACCUACCAAUCACCCUCCCCUUUUCUAUAUGCUCUAAAGAACACGUGGAGUAAUUAUAGGCCUAUAGGAGCCGACUAACCUAGAUUAAUAUGAAAAAUAUUCCAAUAUUAAAAGCAAGCAGAUAGUAAUACUUGCCUUUGACCAUUUUUCUAGAACUGUUAUUCCUAUUGAAUGUUCAAGUGCUACGGCCAGGCAUCGAAUGCCUGCACGGAACCUUCCUAUUGAAUGGUUACUCUAGAGAUCAACGCACCGCGAGACAUUUUUAUGGAAUUUGUUUGAUUCCCCUUCUACAAUUAGAUUAAUUUUUCAUGGCAUAUAUUACUACUAUUAAAUUAUUUGUUUAUUGUCGGGCCUGCUGCAUGUGUGGUAUAUAUGACUUGCUUCUCACCAUUGUUCUCAAACUAUUAUUCCUAUCGAAUCUUUCUAUCGAAAUAUAUUUUAAUUACUUGAUUGUUGUUUGUGUACCAUAACUUCUGUAUAGAAAAAUUCCAUGUUUGUAGAUAAUGUCUUUUGUAUAGAAAAAUAGCCCAAUUAGAUCCAUCACCAUCUUUUGCUUAUGUAGUUGAACAAGUUGCAAUGUUGAACAAAACUUUAAGUGAAAUUAGACCAGGAAAAGGAAUUGUGGAACAUUAAGGCAAGGGUAACCAGAUUGUGGAAUGCAACCUUACUCAGUAGUGGCGAACAAUUAAGUCUUGACAUGAUCCUUAUUGAUCAAAAGGUAUGAUAGAUGUUCACUUUGAUUGCAUUAUUGGUAUAAUUUUUGGUUUACAAAUUAUUAAUGAUGAUGCAAAAUUAGGGAACCAUGAUCCACGGUGUUAUCAAUAAGCCCUAUAUGAAAAAGUUCAAACCAUUGAUUGAAGAAGGCAAUGUGUACAUAAUUGCAAAUGUCAGAAUCACACCAGAACCACAGAAGUAUCGGCCAGUGGAAAAUGACAGGAUAGUCAACUUCUUACCCACAACUGCACUAAAAACGAUCAAAGAUACUGAAGACAUUCCAAAGUAUAGUUUUAACUUCAUGAGCACGGAUAUGCUUUCAGCAAGAAUAAAUGUGGACAUGUACCUAUUAGGUAAAACAUUACUGGCUUUUCAAUUUUUACACUUCCACUCAUUAAAUGACCAUCUAAUAAUAAUACAUAUUUAUGUUUCAUAGAUGUUAUAGGUAUCUCAGCUCACAUUGGACCGAUAGAAGAAACAAGGACAAACUUCGGAUUUACUAAAAUCCGUGAUAUUGUGCUCCUGAUCGAGUAAUUCUCUUUUCUUUUGUAGAAAACAACUACAAAACUUUCAACAUUUACAUGUAUGUUAUAGAACUUCUGUUGAACUAAAAAAUAUCUUCUACAGUGCCCCUACAAAUAAUUAAUUUCGUAGUUGGAUAUUUAAAAUAUUUAUUAUUCACUUUUAAAUUUGUGGCCAUGAAGUUAAAGUUAGAUUUUGGGGAGACAAAGUUGAGGAAGUUGAUGAUAAGACAAAAUCCCAUGUCAUUGCAAUAACAUCUACAACUGUGAGUAAAUUUGGCAGUAAGUCUUCAUUCAAUAUGAGUUAUUCAAUAUUAGUCAUUCAACAAACUAACCUCGUAAGAAAAAUAAAUAAUUGAUGUUUUAUCAGGGUAUUCUCUAUCGUCAACCAAUGCAACAAAACUUUAUGUAGAUCUACCUAUUCCUGAAACUAAGGAUGCACAUGAUAGGUGAGAAAAAUUAGAUAUUGUUUUUCUAUUUUAAUCUAUGUAGCAUGCACUCUAACAUGAUACAUUCUUUCAUAUGAUAAAAAAAUGUUAGUUCAAUUGAAAAUAUUGUCAAAGAGAUUCAUAUUGAGGACCAUCUAAAAGGGACAUUGGAAGACCAAAUGCAGUACAAUAGAAGAACUUUAGAAGAAUUAAAUUUCAUAUUAUUUGAAACAUCAAAUCAGGUAUGGAUUAGUAUGUUCAUUGUACACUAUACUAUUUAAAGACUUACAUACAUAAUGAUGGUAUUGUUCCUACUUUCAGGAUGAGGUAUUUACUAUUGAAGCAACAAUAAAUGAAAUUAAUGCAACAUAUGGUUGGUUGUCACACCCGAUUUUAAGGACAAAAUUGAGUGCAUUAAAUACAUGUGCACCAGGAUCAAGUUACACACAUCCUAUGAGUACCGUCCUUCUUUGGCACAAAGAUAACCGGUGCUCCCCAUGGUGAUGAACUAGGCCGAAUAAACUAUUUUGCUGAUAAUUCCUCUAGUUGUUGUUUCAAUUCUUUUAAUUGUUCAACCAACAUUCUAUAAGGACGUUUGGAGAUAGGUGCAGUACCAGGUAAAAGAUCAAUAGCAAAUUCAAUGUCGCGGUCAGGUGGCAUACCUGGUAAAUCGUCGGGGAACACAUCCGGAUAGUCACACACCACUUUGAUAUCUUCCAAGGAUUUUCCAGCCAACUGAUUAACUGCACAAUCUGCUGCUGAGGGUAGAGUAGCUACAAACUCCACUUUCUCUCCAUCAGGACCUGUUAGCAGAACUGUCCUCUUGGCACACUGAAUCGUUGCAUCAAAAGCGGCUAACCACCUCAUCCCCAGAAUUACAUCGAUUCCACUGGACUCAAGGACGAUAAGAUCAGCCGGAAACUCUAUACCCAUUAUUCUCAGUUUAACUUGUGGACAGAUGUAUUGAGCCUUCAUUGACCCCCCAGGUGAACUCACUAGCAUAUGACGCCUCAUGGUAUGCAUGGGUAAAUUAUGCUUUGCUACAUAAUGACUAGUGACAAAAGAAUGCGAUGCUCCAGAGUCAAAUAAAACUGAUGCGGGGGCAGAGUUGACAAAGAACAUACCAAGCACUACAUCUGGAGCCUCCUUAGCAGUCUCGGCUUCCAUGUGGUUCACCUUGCCACAAACAAAGCUUUGCUGCCCCUGAUUGCCUUGUGGGGUCUGGUUCCCAUUCCUCGGUUGCUGCAUCUGAUUCUGCCGAGGAGCACUGCUGUUCUGCACGGGGGUAGCUGGCCCACCUCUCUUAGGACAAGAGCUGGCAUAGUGACCAACCUCGCCACACUUGAAGCAGGUAGGACCCACUGGAGCAUUGGGCCUUGUUGGAGUGCCAGUAGGGGUCAUCUGGCGGUUCUGCGUAAAGCUUGGGCGCGGAGUCUGCAUAGUCUGCAUCCCUGGAUGCUGGAACUGAGGGCUAGGGCGCUGGAAUGACUGCUGAGCAGGGCGCGGAAAUGAGUGCUGCCAAAAAUUCCCACUCGGGCCCCCUGCGCGGAACGGCGUCCCUUGCUGUGGAGCAAAGCGAGGGCGGGUGUUGCUUCCUGAAGACUACUGGGAAUUGAAUUUCCUCUUCAUCUCCCCGAGCUCGUUCCUCUUGUGUUCCAGGCCAAUUGCCUUGUCUAGCAUCUUCUGGAAACUGGGGAAGGUGUGCGACAUAAGCUGAUAUUGGAGUGGUCCAAUCAACCCAUCCAAGAAUAGCUCCUGCUUCUGCUCAUCAUCAGCAACAUCUUCGGGAGCAUAUCGGGACAACUGGACAAACUUGUCCCUGUACUCUGCCACUGUCAUGUUCCCCUGCUUGAGAGCAAGGAACUCCUUCUUCUUAAGCUUCAUCAAUCCGGAAGGAAUAUGAUGACUUCUGAAGCUAGUCCUGAAUUCAUCCCAGGUGAUGCCAUUAGCAUUGGCAUGGGUGGUGGUGUAAGCAUCCCACCAAUCAGCAGCUGGCCCUUCCAGGCGUCCUGAAGCAUACAGGACCUUCUCCCUGUCAGUACAUUGGGCGAUAUCCAGCAUCUUCUCCACUGUUUUCAGCCAAUCAUCAGCAUCUAAUGGAUCCGGAGAAUGUGAAAACGUCGGGGGCUUGUGGCUCAUGAACUCCCUAUGCCUGUCCCUUGGCGGCGGCUGCUGCUGGUUGUUGUUGUUGUUAUUGUUCAGCUGAGCUUGUAAAGCUGCCACGGUGUUGGUCAGUCCGGCGAGAAGCUGAGUCUGAGCUGCUAGAAACUGCUCCAUCCCUGCAGGUGCUUGUUGGUUCUGUUGCGGAGCGGUGUUGGGAUUGCUGCUGUUGUCCCUGUGGCGUGGCACUGUGGGACGGUCAACUCCUGAUCCGGACCUGGUGUUUACCAUCUGAGCGUUAGAGACAAUGGAUUUAGAUAGAUGUGUGAAAGAAUAACUGAGAAAGAUAAAGCGACCAGAUGUAAAAGUAACACAGAUUCUGUUAGCUCCAUUUAAUUAGGUGUGGUCGUCAGAAGAAGUGUCCAUAAAUUCUGAACAAUUACCAAGUCGUAACUUAUUAAAUUUGUAAACCAACCCAACUGGAAUCAUCUCAAUCGGACUUCUGGAUCUCGAGUUACAAAAUUAACAAGCUGACAGUGUCGGUCGAUAGGUUCAGAUUCUGAGUGCUUUACUAAUUCGCAUACACCUCCCAGACAGAUACACCAAAAAUUCUGAAAAAUUUACAGAUAGUACUCCACGAAAUUCUGAAACUAACCCCACUGGUUUCAUGUCAUUUGGACUUCUGUAGCUAGAGAUAUAAAUAAAAAAGUACUGGCGUGUCAGUUAAUGUCGAGAACAGAAUUGAAUGUCGCUUAGCUUGCGUGAUGGAUAGAUUUAGACAGAUGGUAGAUCAUGAUUAAGGAAGAUUAAAUACUGAUUUAGAACAGAAAUAAAACCCAACUAAGCACUUUAUUUAUUAAGACCAGUAUCGUGUGGCAAUUGCCCCACAUACCGCACUCAUUACAAAAUCCAACUCAAACAUGUAGCACAAAACCAAUCAUCUAAGCACACUUUAACUAACACACUCGAACGACGUCUAACGAUUACAAGAAUUUAAACUAAAACACUCCUAAUUUCCUAGAGGUCUUCUGCGGCGGUGCCGGGCGAGUCGUAGCGGGGACGCUUAGGCGACGGCGACGAAGCGGGAUGAACAGCAAACUCCUGCGGCGGCGGUGCUCCCGUCGCGGCAGCCAUAUUCGCAUCCCUCUCCCACCGGAGUUCCUGAACCUCCUGUUGAAGCUCCUGGAUGUGGUUGUUUGCUUCAUUCAAUGCGGUGAGAGCUGCCGACGUGUACUUGCGGAGGAAGUCUGUAGCCAUGUCAACCCCAUCGUUAGUAGCGAUGAAGGUUCUUGCUUCCCCACUAGCUCGGUAAGGAAGGAACCGAUGGUAAGUGUGCUGCAAUCGCGGCCGUUCCUUGUGGGAGACGACCUCAAGUGCCCUCCUGGCGGCCUCGGCAAUGCCGGAUUCCAUGGUCCUCCUUAUGGUCACAUCAUGGUGAAAAGCCUUCACCUCCCAUCCUCCCUCGUGCUCCUCACGAAGGACAACCUUCACCUCCCAAAAAGUGGGAUAGCGAGGGUGGGUGAACCGGGAGCACUUGUAGAGUGGCCUCAUGCCGUACCCCAAGCGGUGACAAGUCCACCUGAGUAUGUCGGCCAUGUGCACUCCUUGGCCAUAAUCUUCCUUCACCCAUUUGAUCCAUGUCUCGGGCUCGGGAUCUGCUUCGGGCUCAUCAUCCGUCAAGUCGACGACCGGUACGGGCGUCGGGGCUGGUGCAGGAGCGGGCGCCGGUGCUGGCGACGGUGCUGGUGACGGCGUGGUCUCCUGCUCCACGGUCACGGCGUCCCCGUCAGAGUCAUCCCCCGGAUGCUGGAAGAUCUCUUCCUCUUCUUCCUCGUCCCAAGGCUCCAUGGGGGCGUACGACGGCGCGAUGCCAUGACGCGGCGGACGGGUGCUCUUGCGUGCGGUCAACCGGGUGCGAGCCAUCUAACAGAAAGAAAGAAGAAAAUUUUAGAAUAAAAUUUUGAACAAAGCUAGAUAAUAAAAUAGCAAUAAGGAUGAGACAAAUCAAGUUUAAGAAUAAUUAAGUAGAUUUAAAUUAAGAAAGGUAGGAAUGGCUACUAGAUUAUUAUAAUCCUUAAAUACGACCAUUUUCUAACUAGGCUAACGUCCUACAGUCAACACGGCUCUGGUACCACUUUUGUCACACCCGAUUUUAAGGACAAAAUCGAGUGCAUUAAAUACAUGUGCGCCAGGAUCAAGUUACACACAUGUACGACAAUAGUGAAUAGUAAAGCCAGUGCUAAAUCGAAUAAAGAGAGUAUUAACCAUUAUUACAUGACCGAAUGUCUCAAAUAAACCACAAAGUCUAAUUAUUACGCAGCGGAACUCCAAAGAUGACGACGACUCCAUAGGCAGCUGACUGAAGAAACGUACGCCUAGAACUCCUCGAAGUCGUGGAAGUACUCCUCUUCCCAAUUAACUUGGUCUGAACAGCGGUUUUGCAAGGGUGAGUACACUUAUGGUUGGUACUCAACAAGUCGUGGGAAGUAGUGUAGUGUAAGGCUAAUUCAAGGUAUGGCUAAGGCGUAAAUAGCAUUCGCUUUUAAUUAAGUUGGUCAAAUUUUAUUAGCAUUUACUAAGUAUAAGUUCAUACCACCCGAAAUUAAACAUGAACAUAAAGUAAACCACAUGUGCAUGAAAUGAUAACAAAUUAAAUCCAUCUUCCGAUAAUAUUAUCAUGUGAGGGUCCAGGCCGCUCUUAACCGUGAGCACGGCUGAUUGAUCAGUUUAACACUCUGCAGAGGUGGCACAUCUUUACCCACAAGUCGCGUAAAAGUUCAAAAGAACUUUGGACCCAACCAUGCGGUGUUUGCAAGGCACCAUACCACACUUCCGAGGUGUGAUUGCAUAGGGACGCUACGAGGCCUUUACAAAGAUUCAUUAAUCAGUGGUAACCCGCUAAGGUUUCGGUGUCUGGCGUGCACCACCCAUCCCAGGUAAAAUGCAACGACUCAGUCCCCCCCCUUGAAUCAUCACGAGUAAGGUCACCCCAGACUAAGGUUUCUAAUUAAUCAGCCAAGACCAGAGCUAUUUAGUCUUGUGGUAGCACUGUUUUCCUGGGUGGUCGCUCCAUGUUCUGAUUAACAAAUAAUGAUCUUGUCUUAAUGAAAGGUAUAACAGAAAUAAGGCAAGAUUAAGCAUUGUUUUUAGUUAAACCACCAUGUACCAAGUAAGCACUAAGCAUGAGCUACCCAACAUAAAGUAAACCGGUUGGUCAAGGCAAAGGUAAAACAAUCUAGGCCAACCUUAAUUGGGACCCAUCAAUUUAAUCUUAAUAUGUGCACAGCAUAAAUGUUGAGUACGAGAAAGUAAAGGUGUAUAGGACAAAAAGGUAGUGAUCAAGGACACGACUUGCCUUCUUGGCCUUGCUCCUGCUGUUCGUACUCCUCGAAGGCUUGAUCGGCAACUCCCUCGAACUGCGGGGCGUCUACACGCAUCACACGAGCACAUACAAGCAAACAUGGGCAAAAGUAAGAAAACAGUAUACCAAACAUAGUCAAACAGAGAAAACAAGCUUGAAAAGAUGAUCUACGCUUUAAAACGAACACGCGGAUAUAAAGAACGCGAAAAACGGAGUUAAGAUGCAAAAGAUAUGAUUAAAACAAAAUCCAGGGACUUUUCUGUAAGAAAAACAAAACUUUUAGGGCCUAUCCGCGAAAACCGAGGGCUUAUACGUAAUUAUGCGUAUAAACCGAGGGUCUGAUGCGUAAAAACAUCAAACCCGGACGGCGGGUUGAUUUCUGGAAAGGUCAAGGGUUAAACCGAAAAAUGCGAGGGCAGAUCUGUAAAUACUUUCAACGCGAUCUGGACCGCGGGUUGAUUUGCGAAAAAGGCGGGGGCUAAAGUGCAAAAACUGCACGGCGCGGCUCGGUUGACCGGUACGCGAUCUUGAUUGACUCGCGUCCGGCCGUCGGAUUAAGAUCCGACGGUCGCGGUGAUCCGCGACAUCGCGGCGGCGGCGGCGAGCGGCGGCGAGCGGCGGCAAGCGGCGGCGGGUCGCCGGAGUUAGGCAAAAUAGCGCCACGAGGCACGGUUUAACGCGCGGGUUGCACCAAAAAAGAGAGGGGAACACGUCGAUCCCGUUUUGGGGGUUCUUGUCGACGGGGGCUCACCGGCGACGGCGAACGGCGGCGAGGAAGAGGCGGCGGCGCUAGGAGCUCGGGCGGCUAGGGUUUCGGGGAGCUGCGGCGCUGGUUUUGGGCGGAGGAGACUGGGAGGAGGCGGCGGCUUUUAUAGGGCUUGGAGAUAGAGCCGGCGCGGGUUCAAAUCCCCCGGAGGAGUCGGAGCGGAUGGAGUCCGGGGCGGAGACGGCGCGCGGCGGUUGCGGAGUUCUGACCGGAUUCGGCCGGAGGUGGGAGACGAUGGGUGGGGUCCACCCGUCAGUGGCGGAGGGGAGCGGUAGACGGGCCGGCGCGACCGUGGGCUGGCGCGCGCUCGUGGGCUGCGGGGAGCGGGAGAGAAGCGGCGAGCGGGCGCUGGCGGAGCAGGCCGAGCGGAGGUAGAGCUGGGCCGCGGAGAAAAAGGAGGAGGCCGGCGGGCUGCUUCGCAGGCCGGUAAGGAUGAGGCGGCCGGGCCGAAGAAGAAAAAGAAAAGGAGGGACAAGGAGCUUUCGGCCGAGGGAAAAGAAGAAGAAAAAGAAAAGGAAGAAGAAAAGGGAAAAGGUUUUGGAAUUUGAAUUUAAAUCUGAAAUUCAAAAUUUGAUUCAAACUCAAGCAACCAAAAAUUAUGCUCCAGCAUGAAUGCACAAAUAAUUCCUAUGAUGAAUUAAUUGAAUUAAAGAAAAUGAAUUUAAAUGCCUAGAAAUUAAAUAACACCCUAAUUUGAGCAAAUUUUAAUGAAUUUGAAUUAUUGAAAUUUUGGGUGUUACAUUGGUACUACAUCUCAUGUAGUAGAGGCGAUUGUAAGAAGCAACUUGAAAAGAAGUUUGAUCACUACUAUUGCAAUAAAUGUGACAAGAGAGCCGAACCUAAAGCCCAGUAAAUUAUUUAGUAGUUUACAAUCUUAUUAUAAUACUUCUAUUUCUAAUAGGAGAAUAAUAUUUUCAGAUUCAAAUUAAGCUUCAAAUAAGUGAUCCAACAACAAGUGCAACUUGUGUACUUUUGACAAGGAAGCAGAAAUGAUAAUUAAUGAAUGAGCAGAUUCGAUGAUCACCUCAGUUGAUCAUGAUAAUAAGUAGCUACCAAAAUCAAUUCAGGAAAUAUGUGAAGAAACAUUGAUUUCUCAAUUCAGAUUGACCGAGUACAACUUGACAAGUUUUAGACCUGAUUAUACUGUUUCAAAGAUAUUUUUUCCAAAAGAAAAGGGCAGUUCAAGAAUUGGUAUGGAAAGUGUAAAAAAGGUAACACUUUAUUAUUAAUUUUUUAUUGCACUUUUUUCUUUUGAAUCCGUAAUACUUAAUAAUUUUACUAUAUCAAUGAAACAAAUUCUAACCUAAAUUUAUUUUCUUUUUUAUUAUUUGUAGGAAGUAGAAGACAACUCAGACAAAUGCUACACGAUAACUACCGAGAAUGAAGAGGUAGACACUGAUGACUCUUUUACCGAGAAAGUAACAUUCGUAGAAGAAGCCAUAAGGACUGGGGAAAGAUUGGCUAGAAAAGUAUACUCACUUCCAUGUCAGUGUUCAUUCUAUUUACAAUACAUGCAAAAAAAAUAUUAUUCAUGCAAAAUUGCAGGUCUACUAAGCAUUAAAGGAAUAGCGGAUAGUGCAAUAUGUAAUCUGAGCAGCAUGCAUUACAAAGUGCUCUACUGCAAUUAAAUUAAAAAACAUGAUAUAUGUUGAAUUCUUAGACUUUAUUAUUAUACUUUUCUACGUGACAAUUCACAAUUUUUUAGAAAAAAGAAGAUCCCAGAAGAAGUGACCAUGAAAAAAGGUCUAUGACCAGCAAUAAGAAAAAAUGCAAGCAUAGAAACAAAUCCGUAGAAAACAUAGAAAAUAAGGUACUCCAUAAACAAAAGUAUUCUCUUAUAUUUUUAUUAAAUAUUUUUUUAACACUUGACAAGUUCUUUUUUAGGAUCAAUAUAUCAGCAAUUCAGAUGUCAUUGGAGAUGAAACCUUAGUUCAUCCAAAAGGUCAAAAAAAAACAUCUGAAGAAAGGUGUUUGGCUGAAAAGGAAAAGCAAAAAAGUGGUAAUGCAGACAAACACAUGCAGAAAAAUAUAAAAACAUGUCAUAGGGAGGCAGACCAAUCUUGCAAGGAGGUAUAGACGAAACGUGAUACACGACCUGCCUACCUUGUCGUGGAUACCCCAAGAAGAUGUCAUAGAGGUGCAGACCAAGCUAGCAAGGAGGUCGAAACGUGAUACACGGCCUGCCUACCUUGCCGUGGAUAUUAGCCCUGAGAUCAUUCUACUGUUCAAGGAAUAACACUCAAUGCUGCUGCUGCUGCUGACCUGGCUCCAUAAAGUUAUACUCCUCUAGGUGCUUGCACUAACUUUAUCUGAAGUAUUAUUCUCUCUGCACUGUAUAUAUGGUUAUGGAGUUUGCUGGAGUAUCCGGGGCGAAGAACCUACAUAAUACGUCUUGGAACUAAUUGACAUUGAUUCACAGACAAACUCUACAAGGUGCUGUUCUUGCCAUUUUAGAGCAUCCAAAGGACUAUAAAUAACAUAGUUUACCAUAUACCAUAUACCAUAUACCAUAAUAUGUUAGCUAAAAUAAGAGCAUACACAUGUUGCAGGAGUCCAAAAGCACCGGUUGAGGACCAGGUACAUUGAAUUACUAGAAAAAGACAGGGGACAAGGUUUAGGUAACCACAUGAAACAUUUGAAUUUAUUGUACUAUGAACACUUAGUUACCAUGCCAGGAGCACAUAGUUAACACUAACAUUUAGCCACUUUAGAUCAUCCCGAAUCACCAAUGACCCUCAAUAGUGACAAAUUUUGGUUUAAAUGCCAUCACCAAUGAUCCUCAAUAGUGACGUAUUUAGGUUUAAAUCCCGUCACUAAUAACCCUCAAUAGUGACCUGUUUUGGUUUAAAUCUCAUUACCACUGAUCCUCAAUAGUGAUGUGUUUUAGCAAAACAUGUUAUCAAUGACUUGUCAUUGGUGACGUGUUAAAACGCGUUAUCUCAAUGGCAAAUCAUUGGUGACGUGUUAUCUCAAUGUUAUCAAUGUUCUAUUCUUUUCAACAAUACCAGCUCGUUCCUCCGUUUUUAUUCCACCAAUACAAGCACCACCUUGUAACAUUUCCUAUGUUUUUUUUCCUUUUGUCUGUUUUCUCACUACAUGCGUUGCUCUUUCAUGCAUUUUUUUCCAUUCCUGUAUUCCAAAUAGGUCUACAUGAACACAAAAUGAACUAGGGGACAGAAAAAGCCAGUGAAGCCAAUUUUGAGCUUCACCAGCUACUUGCUACAUAAAGUGUGCUAUAGUGACGUGUUUUAGCAAAACAUGUUAUCAAUGACUUGUCAUUGGUGACGUGUUAAAACGCGUUAUCUCACUGGCAAAUCAUUGGUGACGUGUUUUAAAAAAACAUGUCACCGUGAGAGUCAUUGGUGAAGGGUAAUUAAAAUGCGUCACUAAUGUUGUAGCAUUAGUUAUGAUAAUUUAGUAACGCAAAAAUCUACCAUCAGUAUUGAGCUUUAGAGCCAUCGCUAAUGUGGGUUUCUUACAUAGUGAUGCAAGCUCUACAAGGUGCUGUUGCUGCCAUUUUAAAGCAUCCCAUGACUACAUGUUAAUAACAUAGUUUACCAUAUAUCAUAAAAAUAUUAGUUACAAUAAGCACAUACGCAUGUGGAAGAGUCCGAAUGCACCGGUUGAGGACUAAACACAUUGAAUUACUAGAACCAAAUGUAUGUUUAGAACAAAGACAGGGGUCAAGGUUUGGGUAACCGCAUUAAAAACAUUGGAUUUUACUGUACAUGAACACUUAGUUACCAUUACCAUGCCUUGAGCACCUAGUUACAACAAACAUUAAUUUAGCCACUUUAGAGCUUCCAGAAUCGCUAUAAAUAAUAUACCUACGCCGUACCAUGAAAACAUCAAGAAGAGAGACGGAUACAUGGACCACCAUCAAGCGAGUAGUGACAGCACGCACAAGAAUACCCGGAACCUGUUAGCUUGUCUGUAGUGAUCUGUUUUCUUCCCCAUAAAAUCCAUGAGUAUUGCCACAAAUAAUGAAAGAGGCUGACCAAGCUAGCAAGGAGGUAGAGCAAACGUGAUACACGGCCUGCCAAGAUUGCCCUGGAUACGCCAAUAAGAGCGACAGAUACAUGGAUCACACCAAUAUGGUGAAACGUAUAUUCAUCACACAAGCAAAGCUGGUCAGUUUAUCCAUGGUCAAAUUGUGGUCUUUGUUUUCACUUGAGAGCUAAUUGAGGCACUAUAAUAUGGGCAGGCCUAUCUUCAACAGACAUGACAGCUACAGGGAACUUGACAUAAUUUGCUGGGCCGCCUGUGCACAAUUAUUUGUUUUAUUGUCCUUGCAUAGAAUGCUAAAAUACUCUUUACAAAAUGUUGGAUCUAAUAUUUGAAAUAUAGAGUAGUAAUCAUAUAUUGAUCAACAACUUGAAAUUAUCUGUACAUUCUCGGUGAAGCUGUUGAACUAAUUUUUGCAAAUUAUUAAUUCAUCUCAUUACGUAAAGAAAAAAGUAAGUGGAUAAGAUAUUUCGUGGACCACAUCACUGCAAACAUGUCAUGGAGAGACAGACCAAGGAGGCAGGACGUGAUACACGACUUACCCUAGGUUGCCGUGGAACCGCCAAGAAGAGAUACAGAUACAUGGACCACACCAUCUUGGGAGUAGUGACAGCAUAUAUGCAGAAGAAUACCCCGUGCCUAUUUGCAUGCAUGUCUCAAGUGAUCUGUUUUCUUCAGAAAAUACAUGAGCAUUGCCAGAAAGAAUGGCAAGAGACAAACAUGUCAUAGAGACUUGCAUGUCUUGCCUUGGAUACGCCAAGAAGAGGGACACAUACAUGGAUAACACAAAUCUAGUGACACGUAUAUUCAUCACAAAGGCAAAUCUGAUAAUUUUAUCCAUGGAGCAGACCAAGGAGAAAUUGAUGACGGACAUGUGAUCUCUGUAUUCAGUUGAAAGCUAAUUGAGCUACACUAAUAUGAGCAGGACUAUAUUCAAGAGACUUGUUGAGAGCUACAGGGAACUUGUAAUAAUUUGCUGGGCGGCCUGCGCACAAUGAUUUGUUAUACAUAGUUGAAAUAUUUCAAGAAUUUAUCAACCUCAUACUCUGAAACCCUUGGUGCAAUGUACUCUGCUUUCCGAGGUAGACUGUUCACGUAAAAUGAGGUCAUGCGUAAGACGGAAUCGGAUUGGAUUCACAGGGAAUCAGAUUUGGAUAGCACCUUUUAGCAGGUUUUUAGUCAAAUGCAAAUUCGGAUCCACAUGUGGUUGAAUGCGAGUUCAAAAUUCUACUUGGAUAUCCAUUUAAUUUAGGUGAUAGCAAUUAGCACAAAAUGUUGGAUGAACAAAAUCAUAGUUAGACAUACAAUUACAUGUAUGGUUAAAGUAUAAUACAAUACACCAAGAUUAUUCCUUGAAAAUAUUUCUUAAAAAUAUUAUAAUAAAUGAAUAAAUAUAAUUGUGGCCACCAACAAAUAGUCGGUGGUCGCUAAGUUGGAGCCAUUUCUGGUUACUAAUGCGGCCUUCUCCUCGACCAGCGACGACAGCUGAGCUUGUUCCUUCUGACACUAAAUCAUCAGAGUCUUCCCUCCACUACUAUAGAAUGCACCUUUAGCACCAAUUGGGAAAUCCCCUUCAGUAUUGGAUGCUGCAACCAGUGCUAUAUAUCAAAAUGGAGACUAAAAGCCUCGGUCUUGGGUACCGGUUGCAUAACGCAUUACUAAAGGAGGCAAAAGAGAAAUGUAACAAAAAAAAUAUUUUGAAUUCCAAGAAUGUUUCACUAUUCAAGAUGACUAGCUGAGAGUCAACAGACAAGAUACUAGGAAUGUGGGUGCUUGAAUGCAUUUGUACAGAGGUCAUACUAUUUACAAACUCUUCUAUGUUUCCAUAUGACUACCUACUUCAAUGUCACGCGAGCCAUUCAGCUGGACACAUGGCACACUAGCUUGCAUGUCGAAUCCAUGAUUAAUUAUUUGCACUUGUGAUCUCUUACCAGUAUUUGUCCAGACUAGAAACGUGCAACACAUUUUUAGGAUAUGGACACGCAUAUAUUUGGACUAGUAUACAGGUCACCUUUGGAUGCGUACAAGGAUGACCGGGAGGGACUAAUGGAUACAAGGAAGGGACCAUCAGGAUUAAUAUUGACAUAUGCCACAUGACAAUCUUCAUUGUCAUGCAAUCCCUAUCAACAAUCAUGGAAUCCCUAGUGUACUAAUCCCUGGAGGGUUGUGUGGAAAUUUAUUUUACCUUGCGGUGAAAAUCUCAUGAGCAGUCAUUAGUUAAGCUGACUAGCUGAGAUAUAAUAGACAAGCUAGUAAGAUUGGGAGCAUCAAUGCAUCCAUACAGGGUCACAAUAUCCUUUCCAUUCACUUUUAUAUAUAACCCUACGAAUACAAGUCCAACGAAAUGCGGGCCUUUCGAUCAAGAUAAAUUAAAUGGCCCACUUGUAUUUCUAAUCCAGGAUUAACUAUGCCCUCUGUUCAUCUCUUGCAAGCACGUGCAACACAUUUUCACGAUAUGGACAUGCAUGGAGGUUAUUAUACUGUUUGGACAAACUCUGAUGUGCCAUGACCUAAAUGCUUAGGGCCUGUUUGGUUUGAGUUGCUUAUUAUAAGCAACUUAAAGUUGCUUAAAGUUGCUUAUUUGAAGUUGCUUAUUUUUAGUCUAAACUGUUUGGAUACCCUUGCUUAUGAGCAUUGAAUGAGUUGGACAUUGUCAAAUUUGCCCCAUGUGUUGCUACCCCUCCAAUUUGCCUCCCCACCCUUCUUCUUCCUGCACACGUCCGAUCCCGGGGGCCGACGGCGGGCAGGGAGCAGCAGCAGCUGGCCAGGGCGGCGGUGGGGCGGGAGCGGCGGCGCACACCAGCACGCGCUCGCACGCCAGGUGCUAGGGCGCGGCGAGGCAGUCGUCGUAGCCCACCGGGAGCGGGUGCUCGGGCGCGAGGCGGUACUCGACGGAGAUGCCGAGCGUCGGGCGCGCGGCGGCGAGCGCGUUGAGGAAGCGAUGGUAGUGCGGCGACGUCGCGGACUCCGCCACGAAGCCGCCGCCGUGGACGUACACCACCACGGGCAGCUUCGUCUUGCCGUCGGCGGCCGCGGCCGCGGCCUGGGGUGGCAGGUAGAGGCGGACGGAGCAGGAGCCGAGGUCGACGUCCCUGGAGUCGACGCCCGUGGCGGCGUCCAGGCUGGGCCCGACCGGCGGCGGCACGAGCGGGCGCUCGAUGCGGCCGCUCUUGUAAAUCCGACGGGUCUGUGCGGAGGCGGGCGGCGGGCGGGAGCGGCGGGUGGGAGCGGCGGCAGGUGGUGCGGAGGCCGGCGGCGGCGGGUGGCGCGGAGGAAGGGGAGCUGGUGAGUGGUGACAGGGGAGGGGGGGAGAGAGAGGGGGGGUAGGGUGCAUUGAAUGAGGGCAGGAGGUGUAAAGUGCACCUUUUAGUCCCCAUGAGCAACCAUAAGCAGCCCAAGAGUUGCUUAUUUGCUUAUAAUAAGCAACCUCAUAAGCAAGAGUGAUUGGUUUCAUAAGCAACUUAUUUGCUUAUUUUAAGUUGCUUAUGCAUAAGCAUGUGAAACCAAGCAGGUCCUUAACCUAUGGUUGUGGCACCACACAGUACAUAGUAUUUAAUAAUGCUAUUCGUUUGGUAUGUGCACAAGGGCACGCAUGAAAUGUCUGGCCCACGGUAAACAAGUACGGACGCUGCAAAUAAUCUACUCUGCUCGUCCAGUCCCUAGCCUAUAAAUAGAUGCCAUGCUAGCUCUUGUUGUGCUCACAAUUAAUCCUGACUACACACGAGCUUCUCUCCCUGGCCAAGACACAAUCAUAGUAUGAUGAAGAACAUGGCACUAGCCGGCAAUGGUAUGAAGAACUUAAUCCUCGCUGUUCUCUUACUGUGUCUAGUUAUAGGGCAGAUACAAGUGGAAGCUAAGAGCUGCUGCCCAUCCAUUACUGCAAGAAAUAUCUACAAUGCCUGCCGUAUCACGGGUACAUCCCGUCCAACGUGUGCAAAACUGUCAGGCUGCAAAAUUAUCAGCGGGGACAAAUGCAAGCCCCCUAACGACCACCUCACCCUUGACCCGGACACUGGUAAAUAAUAAAUUUAUCUCACUUGAUUUCUUCGUGUUUUGAGUCGUUAAUGUAUUUUCCAUCUGAUGAAACGUAUUGGUUUUGCAUUG